This 50247-nucleotide long non-coding RNA is filed under the name Hordeum vulgare. RNAcentral describes it as "long non-coding RNA (HVUL_LNC020566)". The stretch from base 2605 to 2740 matches the Rfam family "MIR1120/MIR1122 microRNA precursor family". The record is from RNAcentral. Lineage: Eukaryota; Viridiplantae; Streptophyta; Magnoliopsida; Poales; Poaceae.
AUAAAACUUGGCUGACAUAAACUUGUCGUCGAUUAUCCGAGGAGCUGUGGGCAUCAAAAACCUCACUCUCCCCCUCUUUUGGAACCUUUUCGUUCUCACCGAAAAUUGACGGCUCUGUCUUGGAUGGUCAUUCUGUUGAGUGAUAACCAGAGGAGCUCAACUUCAAUGGUGGGGGUUGAUCUGGUGAAAGAAGACGGCGGAGCUAGGUUGUAUGAUCUAUCAAAGGCGAAUCUGAGCCCCCUCAACUAAUAUUGUGCCUUCUACACAUUUAUUUAUUCUUAUCGCCUUUUUAUGUUUAAAAGUGAUGAAUUGUCAUGGUCGUGGCAUUUGCUAUCUCAUUAGGAGCAGUCACACACAAAUCACCUAUCGUGGUGUUUGGUUUGCCUUCCCCAUGAUUUUAUUGUCCAUGGUGGGAGCCCGUUUGGUGCAUUCGGCCCUUUUCUUUUCUGUUCUUACUUUCCCUUGGAUAGUUUUUGAGAUUACCUUAUUGGCUUCGUGGUCAGUUUGCUUGUUUCAAUUGCUAUUUGACUUUUGAUUAUGGUUUCCUUCCUAUCAUGUUCAUGAAUGGCUGUGAUGAUAUAGCUUCCCUGUGAGAACUUCUAUCUAACACCUGAAUUGAUUCAGUUGGUGCUAAACUAGGAUGGCUUGUGUCACAGCAAGUUAACAGUUUAGCGGCUAAUUAUUACUCCCUCCGUUCACAAAUAUAAGUUGUUCAUGGUCAUUCUACCAGAUGUUCAGUUAUGGUGUCGAGAUGGGGAUAUAUCUGAGCCAUCUACUUAUUCAUGUCCCAGUUUUUGUGUCCACCAGGUCAUAAUUUGCUCCCUGUAUAGUGAUUCUUUCUGCUUUCACUGAUUCUUGUGUGGUUUCUGGUCAUAUUUUGUUCUUUGGCAAUUGGCUUCUCUUUGUUCUUUUUGUGGGAUUGGUACUGUUGCUGUUGAUGGCUAUGAUGAGUAAGGUUCAUUCAGAGGUGUACAAAGAUCAGAUACCAUCGCUUGUUUUUAUGGUAUGUGUUUGGGUUAGGGUUUUGUGUGACUAGGUGGUAACGUGCAAAUCGGGAUGGCUUCCUUUCUUUGAGCAACCAUUUGAAUGUAGUAAUGUCACACAGGUUUAAGGGCAUCUCCAACGAGGAUCACUGAGCUUAUCGGAUAGAGUGGGUUUCCCAUAUGAUAGACGAGCCAACUCUGAGCCUCCCAUUUUUUAAAUAAAUACGGCCUCUCUUUCUACAAUUUGUGGUUAUGUGCUUAUGUAUGUUAUUGAAUAUUAUUGGUUUAAUUAUUCUCAAUAUAGUAAUAAUUUAUAGCAGUAUUGGAUCUCACUGUAGUAUAUGUUAUCAUCUAUGACAGUUGUGAGAUGCGCUCAUAGCAAACCGGAUGUUGAGCUAUUUUACACUUACAUGCGCAGAAUGCUUUGAAUUAGUUAUGCAUCUAUAAGUUCUACUUUGUUGGUGCUAAACUAGGGUGGCUUGUGUCACAGCAACUACGAUGAUGAUAAAACAUGGCAGACAUAAACUUGGCUUCGAAUAUUCUGAGUAAAAAUGAUUGUUUACUCAACAAAAUUUGAACUGAUCUUUUACUUUUUGAGAAUUUGUAUUCUUGCUCACUUGCAUCCAUGUAUACAUAAAAGGUGUAUUGAUAGUUCGGUUAUGAUAUUAGUUCUUUCGGUAAAAUCAUGUUCUGGUCAAUGCGAAGGAUUGUUUUGCAAAUUUAUAUUUUUGCCUAUUUCCUAUCAAUUUGUACUUUUGGUUACUCUUUACUUCUUUAUUGGUUUCAACUUAAGGGUCGUAUAGGGAAAGUUCAGAUGUCAAGACUAUUGUUUCUUUUGUGUCAUGUUCAUGAAUGGCUGUGAUGAUAUAGCUUCCCUGUGAGAGCAUCCCUGUGAGGGCUUCUAUCUAACACCUGAAUUGAUUCAGUUGGUGCUAAACUAGGAUGCCUUGUGUCACAAAGUAACCAGUUUAGCGGCUAAUUAUUACUCCCUCCGUUCACAAAUAUAAGUUGUUCAUUGUCAUUCUACCAGAAGGUCAGUUAUGGUGUCGAGAUGGGGGUAUAUCUGAGCCAUUUACUUAUGAAUGUCCCAGUUUUGUGUCCACCAGGUCAUGAUUUGCUCCGGAUAUAGUGAUUCUUUCUGCUUUCACCGAUUCUUUUGUGAUUUCUGGUCAUCUUUUGUUCUUUGAUAGUUGGCUUCUCUCUGUUAUUCUCUUUGUGGGAUUGGCGCUAAAUGCUGUUGAUGGCGAUGAUGAGUAAGGCUCAUUCAGAGGUGUGCUGAGAUCAGAUAUCAUCGCUUGUUUUUAUGGUAUGGGUUAGGGCUAGGGUUUUGUGUGACUAUGUGGAAGUGUGCAAAUUGGGACGGCUUGCUUUCUGUGAGCAACCAAUUGUAUGCUGAAACGUCACAAGUGUUUCAGUGCAUCUCCAAACGUGGAUCACUAAACUUCUCAGUUACCGUGUGGGUUGCCGAUAUGAUAGACAAGCCAACUGAGCCCCCAUUUUUUAAUAAAUACGACCUCUCUUUCUACAAUAUGUGGUUAUGUGCUUUAUGUAUAUUUUUGAAUAUUAUUGGUUUGAUUCUUCUCAAUAUGUUAAUAAUUUAUAGCAGUAUUGGGAUCUCACUGUAGUACUCCCUCCGUCCCAAAAUUCUUGUCUUAGGUUUGUCUAAAAAUGAAUGUAUCCAAAUACUAAAACAUGACUAGACACAUUCAUAUAUAGACAAAUGUAAGACAAGAAUUUUGGGACGGAGGGAGUAUAUGUUAUCAUCUACGACACUUGCGAGAUACUCUCAUAGCGAACUGGAUGUUGAGUUACACUUACAUGCUCAGAAUGCUUUGAAUUAGUGAUGCAUCAAUAGAUUCUGCUUUGUUUGAAUAAAAAACAAUCCUGUGUGCUGAGGGCCCCGGAAGCAAGCAGAGGGUUUUGCAUCCCUUGUUCAAACUAUGCUAUUAGUUGCAAUUGUAUGUAUGUUCUUACUUGCAUGUUCUAUUUCUUUGCUCAGCAUUCCCAUUUAGUAGUUCCUGCAUUUUAUUUUGCGCCUGGUUUUCUUCCUUUCAUACAUUUGUUGUGUUAUUGUAUAAAUUGUGCUAUAUUGCUCUUCUUCAUUCAUGCAUUUGCUGCACUAUGGCACCUCAAGCAUCAGCAAUAAGAAACUGUACUACAUUUGGUCUUCGCUGUCAUCAUACUGUAUACAUCAUUUAUAGCAGUGAUGGUAUCUCACAGUAAUAUUUGUUGUCAUCGACGAUACUUAGAGAUAUGCUCAUAUAGUACUGGAUGUUGAGCUAUUUCUACUCUUCCUGCGCUUGCUGAUGCAUCAAAUAGGCUGUACUUUGUUUAAAUAAAAAAAGAUCAUGUGUGCCGAGGGCCCUUGGAGCUAUUAAGCAUUUUCUUGGGGCUACUAGUAAGUUGAUCCAUCCACACCAAAACAUGAUGACUUAGCCAACAGAUUCUGAAAGUAAAUGAAAUAUAAUUAUGGAGGGGAUGGUGCCUUGAAGUCAAGUUCAUGUGCAUCUAUAGCGUACCAACACUGAUGAGAGAAUUACUUGUUUGGUCCUUUCUUAAAGUUUGCUUUCCUGUUUGGCCUAAAAAAAAUUCUUCUCUAUUUGACCCCAAAUGUAAAAUUUGUUCCCUAUGUGACACUUCUGUCUAGUUUGGGCACAAACAGUGUUGAAUACAACAUGAAAAGACCAUUCUACCCCUGAUGUAAUGCAAGGUUGAAAAAAAUAAUCUUUCAUUUGUUCGACUAAACCGGUUUAUUAGAGGCGAAAGAAAGAGAAUAGCGACAAUGCUUGAGGAUUUGUGAGGAAAAGUAUAAGGGGUGCUGCAACUUUUGUGCUUGCAUGCAUGCAUGUAUCUCUAGUGCUAAUUGCUUUGGUGAAUAGCAUUCAUGGUUUAUUUUUUGUUCCUUUUUUUCCGUCUCACCUUCCAUCACCAUCCCUUCACAUUGGUUUUUUCACCUUCUAAUAAAAACUUUCAUAACCUUUCCAAAAUUUCGUAACUAGCCAUUUUACAAAUGGCAUGAAAGAAUAAUAUGUUAUCAAACAAUAAAAUCCAAUUAUGUGGUAAUCAAUUUUGAAUCCUAAAAGCAUCUCUAGCAGACCUUGUAUAAAGCCAACCCGUAAAAGUGGUUUAUAGUACGCGAAAAAGAGAUAUUUGUAGAAGAUGCUUUUUUAUAAGUCGACAAUGCGAGGUUUGCUCGGUCGGCACCAAAUCGACCCUGCAAGCUGAAGUGCUCGUAAAACAAAUGUGCAAUAUAAGUAAAACGUCAAUAUUACAAAUACAAUAAUCAUUCAAAAUACAAUAAUUAUUCAAAUCACCGUAGCAAACUAAAUAAUUUAAUACAAAACUAGUAUACAAAUCACACAUGAAUGAAAUGAAAAUGAAUGAAAAAAUAUAAUGUGUUACUGCCUAGCCCUUUGUCAAUGAUGCUUAAUUACAUCCUUCUCAAGUUAAUAGUUGUGUUUCAAUCCUUCUCAAGUUGACAGUUGUGUUUCUAUUUUCAAUAAGUCUGAAGAAAAGCUCUAAUUUGGUUAGGGUCUCUAGCUGGUUUGACACGGCUGCCCACACUGUUAUAGAAUAAUUUCAUCCUUUCUCAUCUUUGAGAAUCAUAUGGUGAAAAAUAACAUUGCAUGUCAUGGUGUUUUUCAAGGAUCACUUGUCUCAAAACCGAGCAAGACCACGAACAAUGGCAAAACUAGAUUGCAAAAUCCCAAAUGCUCUUUCAAUGUUUUUUCGGGCUGCCCCUUGUGCCUCGCGAAUUCAGACUCUUUCCUACUUUGGGGGUCUUUGAUGCUCUUCACAAAUAUGCAUGGGUAUAUAAUCUAUAAGAUAGUACCCUUUUGUGUAUUCAUGUUCAUUGAUACUGUAGUUGCAAGUUGAAGCAUCACCUAGCAAGCAAAUGAAACUGUUGCAACACAUUCACAUUGAUAUCAUUUACAGUAUCCGGCAUAUAAAAAAGCAAUGUCAAAUCCAUAAAUUAUGUUAAGCUAUGACCCAUAGUACAAUUGUUGCAUCACGAGACUUGUCGCAAUACAUUCCCUGUCAUGCUUUUGAGUAACUUUUUCAAGUUCAAUGUAUACAAUCUAUGCUUACUAGUAUGUCAGGCCAACCUCUUCUUUUAUUAAAUGCCAUUAAAUUUUUUGUGUCUUCCUCGUUCGGCGUCCGAAGAUAUUCAGGACCAAAGACACGAACAAUCACUUUGGCAAACCUAUGCACAGACUUAAUUGUACUAUCUUUCCCAAUGCGAAGGUACUCAUCGGUAUAUUUAGCCGGAACGCCGUAUGAAAUUACCCGCAUAGCUGCCGAGAUUUUUUGAUAUGCACUAAAUCCCUUCAAGCCCACGACAGUUCUUCUUUGAGUAAAAUAUCGACAAUUGGCUUCACGAGCUUGCACAAUUUUUACAAAAAGGGAUCUGCGCAUACGGUACCUUCUCCGGAAGAGGUGCAACGGGUAUGUUGGAUUGGCGGCGAAGUAGUCUUGCAUCAGCAUCUCGUUCCCGAGAUGGCGAUUUCGAGGAAUGCAAAGACGACCGAUGAUCAAUCCUCGGCGCCUCUUUCGGUUCUUGUCUUCAUGCUCCUUCACAUCAAGGAACAUCACCAAACUCUGUUGGCGAAAUGUGAGAAGUAUCGUCUCAACAUCCGAGUCAUCUGAAUCGGGUUAAUCCUCGAGCAGAAACUUCUUGCACAGGCUCAACUCCAUCUCCGGCGGUGGCUCUCCGGCCGCGGUGGAUUGGGGGAUCUGGGGGAGCCGGUGCAGCGACUCGGCAGAAGAGGGCAGGGGCGCCCCAUAGGCGCGAUUCACCCCGGAGAUUUGGCGGAAUCGGUGGCGGCAGACUGGUGGAACCAAUGGCGGGGGUGGCGGCGGAAUGGGGUGGGGAAAGGGUGCGGGCUGCAAUGUCCGUCUUGCCAAUCGCUUCCCUGGGAUACGGGGCACCGUAUAGGCGAGCCGGAAACCUGUCUUUUCGCGGGUCCGGGAGGGGAUUUUGCCGCGCCCCUCAAAAAAAUUUACGGGUCCGAUGCGUUUGCGGGGUCUGACUGGACAACAUUUUCCGCGCAGACCCGCAUUUUGAGUGUUAUUUUGCGGGUCGGGGCAUUAUACGGGGUCUGCUAGAGAUGCUCUAACUUUCCUAACACAUGGAUCCUUCAUGACAAUCAAAUCUCUUUUUUAAAUGACAAUCGAUAUGAAUUCGUUCGGUUUUUUCAUCUCGCCUCCCACCACCACCCCUUCACAUUGGUUUUUUCACCUUUCAAUAAAAACUUUUCUACUCUUUUCAAUUUUUCCUAACCAAACAUGUUACAAAUGACAGGAACCAUACAUUACCAGACAAUGAAAUCCAAUUAUCUAGCAAUCUAUUUUGAAUCCUAACUUUCCUAACACAUGGAUCAUUUCUAACAAUCAAAUAUCCAUUAAUAAAUGACAAUAAUUAUGUAUUCGUCGUUGAUACCCAGCCCCUCUUCCAACGAAGUCUUCCCUGUCUACAGUUUCUCAGCUUUUUCAUCAGAGACCGCGAGUGACGACGAGUCUCUGCAGAUGAUGAGCACACUCAUGCCUUAGAAGGAUGCGUACGAGCUGUUCGUCGGAGGGGAGUGCAUGUUUGUGAUUGAGGAUACUGGCAAGCCGGUGGCUAAAAGCAGAGGGUGCACCAUGCGUUGUGGCUGAUGUGUGCGUGUGUGUUGUUUCCUGCUUGUGCGUGUGUGGUGUGGAUAGGUGCGUGUGUGUUGUGUGCUGCUCUCCUUCAGCAUGUAUGCAAUGAUCUGUUCCGGCCAACCGUGAAUGGUAUUUGUGUUUUUGGCUUGGUUAUACAUGCAUCUAAGUUUUGGGAGUUUAUACGAUCUAUAGAUGACCUAAUAUGUUGUGAUUUUUUUUGUAAGAGUGUUGUGAUUUCUAAAUAAUGCAUUUUUGGGAGUUCCGCGUUCUGAUAUGCAUAUCAAUUGUAAGUCAUGUGAAGCUGCCCAAAGGAAAUACUUUUGUGUUGCUUCUCAUGUUUCUAUUUUUCUACAAAUUGUUUUGGGUCUUAUCUCUACUCCUAAAGGGUGAGUCUUGAUAGUGAUGGUAGGUUCGUACAUCGUUGGUUUGUCGGUCUCCAUCCUCCCCUCCCAUGGUUCUUUACCCAUCGAUGCUCCCUUACACGUCACUUAUUUCCUUCCAAUCCACUUAAAAAAGUUAUUUCCCUCCAGGUAUACCGCUUUAUUUUCAUGAUUGCUUCCCUUGUUAUUUCCUUUCAGUUAUACUGUUUUAUUUCCAAGAUUGCUUCCGUUCCAGAUUCUUUUCCCACGAUAAACACACCUUCCCAAUUUCCCCACAAUUUAUGCGCCCAUUUCCUCUCACCAUUCUCUCCUCACAAACCCUAGAUCUACGGCUCCGGUGCCGCCAACCACAUGCAUGUCGUCGCUGCUGUCGCUUAGUUCGGCUACAACCCAGAGAAGGUCGUGGAUGCGGUGAUGAAGUCCCACACAUGCAUGGGAUGAGAGGAGGAGGAUACGGAGGUGCUGGAGAGCUUGAGCAUCGUGAACAUGUUGUAGGUUCGUGAUGGUAGGUUUCCUCUCCCUACCACCGCCUCGUGUUAGAGUCCGCGGAGAGUAAGUUGGGGCUGUGGCUUCGCCACUGAAGUUCUCCUCCAUGGUGUCAUCGAUUAGAUCCAGCUGACCCAGGUCUGUGUCGUUCCUCCUCCCUUGGCGCCAUUCCCAAGGCGAUUAUCGAGAAGAACCAUGUUUUUCUACGAGUGACAGCUCAGUUCAUGGUCCAGGCUCUAGGAUGUGAACUAUCACACAUACUAAGUCUAUCACUGAUCUCUCGUUUGUGCCAUAUUUGUGCUUAACCAAGCAUCAUUUGUUAUUUCAAUUCAUACUGCAACUACCUCAACACCAUAUAAGAAAAAACAUAUACAGAAUACUCAACAAUAGCUAGCAGAACUAGCCUGCAGGAAGGCUGCCAUUAAGAGACUCGCUACUCUUUUAGAAACUAUAGGUAUGGAAAAGCUUUUUAGGAGCUCGUUCUAUAGGUUAUAGCCUCUUAUAUCUGAGAAAGACAUUUUUGGUUUUUGGGUGUUGACUUGCUUACUUUGUUGUCUAAUGUGUUGCUUUCAUUUGAUGUGAUAUACUAGCUUAUCUGGUAAGUGAUGACAAGCGAGUAGGUGUUAUAAUAGUUUAUCUAUUACUUUGUUACUUAAAAGGACACAGCAUGUGAAAAUAGAGUGACACAAUGUGGAUCACUGCAUCGUGGCAAGCGAAGGUUUAAAAAGAUUUACAAAACAGAUCCAAGGGACAAAAUAUAUUAUGAUCGUGCUAUGUGUAUUAAAGACUUAUAGAAAUGCAUAAGAAAUAUGUUGCUAUAUAUUAUGAUCCUUCUAGACGGAGUGGAGGAAGGUGGUGUUGGUGCAUCCUCGGUCCGAGUGGAUCGAGAUAUGGAGCAGCUCAUGCAACUGAGGUACUUUGACCUUGGAAGGUCUGGUAGCACCGACGACGAGUCCCAUCUCACCGCGGUUGUGCCCACGGGUUAUCCGAGAGGUCGGUUUCACCGCAUGAACAUCUACUNNNNNNNNNNNNNNNNNNNNNNNNNNNNNNNNNNNNNNNNNNNNNNNNNNNNNNNNNNNNNNNNNNNNNNNNNNNNNNNNNNNNNNNNNNNNNNNNNNNNNNNNNNNNNNNNNNNNNNNNNNNNNNNNNNNNNNNNNNNNNNNNUACACGACGUCCUAAGUACGUCUCCUUCCACGAUGACUAAACUUACAGUGGUAAUGUAGUCGAUUCAAGGGACAAUCCACGUACUAGCCUACGACACAUCUUGUUCAUCAGACAGUGUCCACACUAGCCUAUCAUCUUAGAUCAAACACUAUCAAGAUGGCGAUUAGGCUAGAGAACUUAUUUCGCCGCCACUGACGCUGCAACAUCGCCGCUAGGAAACAAUGGCCAAUAAGUGUACGAAAAUGGAUUACGCAUUGGACGGAGAGCUGAGUUCCCUACUGUGUGCCAGUGCGAGCAUGGCGACCAGUAGCGGAGGAGAACGGUGCGCUUGUGUGGAGAAAAUUGUUAAUGGUCAUUAUGAAUAAAUCUUUAACAUGGAAGAUAUGUUAGCUAUGCAAGUUUCCACGUAUUGGCUUUGAUUAGCCGUUGUGUAUCGGCUAUCAUCUUGAGAAAUAUAACGACGAAAGAAAGUUGUUUGAUUAAUGGUUUAUAACAUAUAUUUUAUUGUCCCAUGACAAUGGACGGGUAUUUAGCUAGUAUUCACUAGUGUAUAUACUUUGUUUAUUCUUAAAUAUAAGUCUUUUNNNNNNNNNNNNNNNNNNNNNNNNNNNNNNNNNNNNNNNNNNNNNNNNNNNNNNNNNNNNNNNNNNNNNNNNNNNNNNNNNNNNNNNNNNNNNNNNNNNNNNNNNNNNNNNNNNNNNNNNNNNNNNNNNNNNNNNNNNNNNNUAAAUAUAAGUCUUUUAAAAGAUUUUACUACGGACUACGUACGGAUGUAUAUGAACAUAUUUUAAAGUGUAGGUUUAUUUAUUUUAUUUCGUCUUUUCACGUUUGGACUUAUAACACCGUUAGUGGUCAAAGUAGACGGAAGUGUCAAAUAGGGAACAAAUUUACAUUAUGUGUCAAAUAAGGAAGAAAAAUACAUUUUGGAGCCAAAUAGAAAAUCGAAUUUUAAGAAAGGACCAANNNNNNNNNNNNNNNNNNNNNNNNNNNNNNNNNNNNNNNNNNNNNNNNNNNNNNNNNNNNNNNNNNNNNNNNNNNNNNNNNNNNNNNNNNNNNNNNNNNNNNNNNNNNNNNNNNNNNNNNNNNNNNNNNNNNNNNNNNNNNNNUUAAGAAAGGACCAAAUAUGAAAUUCUUUCGAAAAUGAUCACACACCGGCCAAUAUAUGUCAAAGGGCACAACCUUCGAGUAGGUAACCUUACCGCAAUACACGAGACUCUUCAUGACCCCUGUCUUAAGAUCGACAGCGUAGAGGUUCUUGCACUUGUCCUUGACGAGCAACGUGCCAUUCUUCUCCCCCAGAAAGAUCUUCUGCUCGAAUCUGCUUGGGUGGUUUUAGCUCAACGACUCGCUUGCAGAACCAUCUACGACCACUCUCACUCCCCUCACUAACUUGUGACAUGCAUAUUUUUACAUGACGGCCUGGAUUUUGCAGGUAAAGCAACGAAAGUGUCUCAUCGGCAGAAACAAUAAGUUGUGGUUCUUGAUAGAUUCCACAUAAAAUGUCGUGGGUCGGGUUCACAAUCUUGGUCAGGGAAACAUGGCAAAUCUCAGCAUCUACAACAAUAAUAUGCAAGAGAUGGUGGUAGAUUGUAUGGUACCCAACAAGCCAGUGUGCCGUGCCUCCAGGCACAGUGGAAAAGGUCGGCCGUGUCCUCCAGGCGCGCGAUCAAGGAUCUCGCAGACCAUGUCGUCCUCCGGGAGUGAUGUCGCCGUCGUCUCUUCAGGCACCAUGCAUGUCUCGCCUACGUGAGCUACAGCGCUGCGCCGCGCGUGCGGUCGGAGGGGGAGACUCGGGAUAGAUUUUGUGUACGUACGUGUCCAGCUAGGUUGACAUGCCUUGCCGUUUUGGACUCUUGGUCAAACCCAUCAUGUCCGAAUGUGUCACGAGCUCAUGAUUUUUGAAAGGACAGAAAGGCCUUUUCCCCACUUCGGCCCGUGUCGGCUGUUUUUUCCUUUUCUUUUGAGUUCGGCUGGUUUAUGUAGCAUAUAUACUCUGAAUCAUUCAUGCAAGAAUCAUGUCAUGGCACACACGGCAUACUUAUGGUACCACGUGCAAGUACAUUUACCAGUCAUGGAUAUAGAGUAGUUUAGCCUUUUGUCUAAUACUAGCAAAAAUGCCCGUGGCAAACUUCACAUCAAAAGACAUCGGCAAUGAACCAGCAACAGUGCAACAAAUGACCUGAUGAGUCAACGAAGAUGUGGAUGGAGGUGUGGGCAAGGAAGAGGGAACCAUACAAACUGAAACGCACUGGGGAGGCGAUGAAUCACAUGCCGCACAAAGUGGCGUGGGUGAGGUCGGCUUGAGGGCUUUGACGUUGACGGAUGCGUGGGCCAGCGGAGUGAACAAACUCCCCCUUCUUGUACUUCAUGGCAUGCUCUAAUCCAUUGUGGUGUCUUCCAUCAUACAAGUGACCGAGCUCAUAGCCAUCAAUGCCCUAAUCGAAGCCGUGAUCAUCGAUGACUGCCGCCGCCGCUGCGGUUCUAACCUUUGCGAUGUUCUUGAUGGACGCGAGUAUUUUUUUUCUUCUUAAAUUUAAGUUCUCACCAAUCCAACUCCAUAUAGCUUGGAGUAUUUACAGCCGGACCCCUCAAUCCGCCUCAAACGUCCGGACUGCCCGUCCGGUUACUGAUCGAUCACAAAAAAUUAACUUAAUCGGACCUCUCAUACUCAUCUCAAACGUCCAAACUGACCAUCAUUCCUCGUAUCCAUCUUAAAUAUAAGGACGCGCGGACGCGCGCGGGCACGACUGGUUGCUCGACGCCGAGCAACAACUUUUGGUGCCGUCCGACCACUCGCUUAUUCAAAGUUCUGUUACACAUUGGCUUAUCCAUUAUGUCACUAGACACUACCCGACCUUGCAUACCAUACCAUUGACGUGGAUGCCGGAACCUGCCGUGACGUCCUGACUAAGAUUGAUAAACUUAUAUCAAAUAGAUCGAAGCUCCACAUUGUCAAGCUCACAAAAUGAUGAACCAAUGAUGAAUCACUACUCACUGUCUAUACUAUUGAUGUUGAUGGGAACCUCUCGUUGCUUUAUGUGCAAAGGCAAGGCUCCCAAUUGAAGAGAUGGACGCGACAAGAGGAUUGUGGUCCCACAAGGUGGCUCCCCACUCAAGUUAUUGGGCUAGAGAAGGGUGGCAUCUUGAUCAUAAGGGACAGCCACGGGAAUGUGUACACUGUAGAUCUUGACACAGGGAUGAUGAAAAACUUUGCGUACAUUGACAAGAUUAACCAAAGACACCAAAUAAACACCUAUAUACUUUCUAGACAACAUAAUGUUUGGGGUUCAAUUUUAGUAAGGACAACUCCAAUACGGAUCACCAAAUGAACGACACAAAAUAUCGGUGGUCAUAUCUAUUCAUAGCCGGUGGGGCGGAGGUCAUCCAACCAGAGACAUCAAAUAAACAAGAACACCAAUUUUUCAUUCAUUUUGCGGACUAAUUUUACAUAGCAAAAAACCCUAUAUAACUAAAAAGGAAAUUAAAAGUCCUACUCCACUCCUCCCCGUCAAAAAUGAGGUCAACAUGCCCCAUACCAACAGUAUGUACCUCGAUGACAUGGAGGUUCCAACGCUUGCUAUAGAUUUUUUUUUAGAAAAGGAAGAUGACCCCGGUCUUUGCAUCUAGAAGAUGCAUGCGGUCAUUUUAUUGAUUAUUCUCGCGGAACAUACAAAGUAGAACAACAAUAUGUUUGAAUCCGCCAUCCUGACAACAUCUGUCGCUACCCUAUCCAUAUGAUGAAGGGGUGCAAGCCGGGCUAUAUACCCAGACCUCUCACCUAAGCGUAACCACUAGUGGGGACGGGGCCUUUAGCCCCGGCCUGUAAGGGGCUUUAGUCCCGGUUCACCAACCGGGACUAAAGGGGCGGGACUAAAGGCCUAACCUUUUCGUCCCGGCCCUGUUACACGCCGGGACUAAAGGUGCUCCACGUGGGCGCCUCGUAGCGCCCCAGGGGCAGGCCCUUUAGUCCCGGUUCGUUACACGGACCGGGACUAAAGAUUUUCAGAUUUUGCUUAUUUUUGGGUUUUUUUGAAUGAAAUUAUUUUUGGGUUUUAGGGUUUUAGGAUUUAGGUGUUCGGAAGAUUAACGUGAUGCCUCGUUUGGUGUUCGGGAAUUAGUUUUCAUAUAAUUUAAAUAGAAAUAAUUAUGCAUAUAUAUAUAAGAUUAACUUAUCUUACAAGCGAGCAUAUAUAUACAAUUACAUGGAGAUCUGAAUUAUCGGGACUAGAGUCCGUCUAUUCGAUUACAUGGACGAACAUCAGUAAUGGCCCCUAGCUACACUAAAUCGUCCUUUGUCAUCUAUAGCUUCCGUCCUCAGAAAGGUCGCAAGCUCCUCUGCAACAGCAAUCGCGCGUUGCUCUGGUAGGACCUUCGUCGUCAUGGCCGUGUGCUAUAUAAGAAGAGGAGAUGAAUAUGAAUAUCAAUCAUGAUAACAAAGAAUGACGGGUAAAAAUAGAGGUGUGAAUGUUCAUUGCUUACGUCGAAUCUGUGAUCCUUGUGCUCAGAGGUAAACGUGCGAAUGGUCUCGCAAACAUAGUAUCCGCAUAGAUGCGUUCCCAAGGCUGCUGGUCGCACUUUACGAGAAUAGAAUAUAUAUAAUCAAAAUAAUAAUCUAGCAUCAUAAAUGUAUUAAAAAUUAAUAGAAGUAUAUCAUACUACUACUUACCUGAGCCGCUCUAAAGGUCAGCUUCUCAUGAAAGUUACCGGGAGUCACGCACUUGAACCGCUUCCAAACCCUGCCCGACAAGGAUAAUGAUUUGCUAAGUUUUUCAUUAAUUGAUAUAUCAGAAAAUCAUCGAAAGAGACCGAUAGAGCACAAGAAUGAUUAAAAUUACCCUUGGAGCAUGUCCUGCAGGCUUUAGAACUGUUCCAAGGGUNNNNNNNNNNNNNNNNNNNNNNNNNNNNNNNNNNNNNNNNNNNNNNNNNNNNNNNNNNNNNNNNNNNNNNNNNNNNNNNNNNNNNNNNNNNNNNNNNNNNCACUGAUCCAUGGCGGUAAGCGCUUGGCCAUGGCUAUAAUAAGGGAAUUAAUGUAGUGCCCCAGAUGUAAACCUGGCUAUAUUUGGAACCUAUUGCAUGUCGGUCCACCUUGUCAGUGUUUUGAUGAUAGCAAUUAUGCCAUGACCUCAUGUGGUGUCCCUUAUUUUUUUUUUCCUUCCUUCCNNNNNNNNNNNNNNNNNNNNNNNNNNNNNNNNNNNNNNNNNNNNNNNNNNNNNNNNNNNNNNNNNNNNNNNNNNNNNNNNNNNNNNNNNNNNNNNNNNNNNNNNNNNNNNNNNNNNNNNNNNNNNNNNNNNNNNNNNUUUUUUCCUUCCUUCCCAUGCAUGCCCUUGUCUUGUGGUUGCCAUAUGAUCUUAGCAAUUCAUGUGGUGGUGGUGAUCUUGUGGUUGCACCUUGUGAUGCCUUGUGAUGAUGCGCAUGUGAUGUAUAGUUUAAAUGGGGUGUGCAUGUGUUAGUAUAAGCUUGGGUUUCAAAACCAUCUCCACCCCUCCUCUCUAUUUCUCCUAUGUCAAGAUUCUCUUCUCCCUUCACUCUCUUAAAAAAGCCCAUGUAUUAGUGUAUUUUGUGGAGGAUGCCAAGAUGUGUUUUUUUCUGUUUUGUAUCUUAUUUUAAAGGGUGCAAAUAAAUCCUAAACAGUAAAUAAAUUGCUGUUUUGCAUUUAUUCAAAUUGCCCCAAAUAUUUCUUUUCUAUUUAUUUCAAAUAGGUCAUAAUUCCUUAUGACCAGGGGCAUUUUUGUUUUGUUUUUAACCCCAACAGAAUUGCCACUUGUUUUAAAACCUUUUCUGUGUUUAUUUAAAAGAAUANNNNNNNNNNNNNNNNNNNNNNNNNNNNNNNNNNNNNNNNNNNNNNNNNNNNNNNNNNNNNNNNNNNNNNNNNNNNNNNNNNNNNNNNNNNNNNNNNNNNNNNNNNNNNNNNNNNNNNNNNNNNNNNNNNNNNNNNNNNNNNNNNNNNNNNNNNNNNNNNNNNNNNNNNNNNNNNNNNNNNCCCCCCCCCUGAGGGCCCCCUCCUCUAUCUGUCGCUAGUGGCACCGCUCCCGCAUGGCCUAGCCCAAUACUCCCCAGCUCACGUGCGCGGCGCGUCGUCCUCCUCCCUUUCCAGCGAGGCAGGCGGCNNNNNNNNNNNNNNNNNNNNNNNNNNNNNNNNNNNNNNNNNNNNNNNNNNNNNNNNNNNNNNNNNNNNNNNNNNNNNNNNNNNNNNNNNNNNNNNNNNNNNNNNNNNNNNNNNNNNNNNNNNNNNNNNNNNNNNNNNNNNNNNNNNNNNNNNNNNNNNNNNNNNNNNNUCCCUCCCCUCUGCUCCACCGAGAGGAGCGGCAGCACAUGGCCGACGACACGCCCUCGCGAUCCUCCUCUCCAGCUAUUUAAUCCCUUGGCAUCCGUGCACUCGCGCUAGGGUUCCUCCCCGCGCCGCACCGUCCAGAUCUCGAUCCCCCUCUCUCUCUCUUGACGCAGCAAGGUAAGGAGGGCACGGGAUCGCCAUGGCCGACGGGUAGAAGCUCGUCGUCGCCGUCGAUCUUCUUCCUCAACCUCCUCUACGACGGCACCAGCAGCUCGAGGACACCUCCAGGAGCCCGUUCCCAGCGCUACAUCGGUCACCCCCGCGCUGCAUCCACUGCUUCCCGGCGGCGCUUCCCCUCCGACGAGAAGCUUCGCCGACGGCCUUCUUCCACUACUUCCUCUACGAGCCGCUCCCUCCUCGACUCGUACGCGAGGUAGUGCUCCUCCUCCCUCCUCCCUGUCCCAGAUCGGGUGCAGUAGCAGUAGGUUCGAAGCGCGCUUGCUCUCUGUCGCCGGAGCCGCCGCUCGCCAUCGUCACGCCGUUGUAGAGUUCCUUGGGCGUAGUUAGUUAGUGAAAUGAGCUCGUGCGCAUGUGGGCUUCCUCCCCUCCACGAGCCGUUGCUCGAUUUGUACCAUGUCGUCGGCAAGGGUCAUCCCCUGUUCCGGUCUGCCGCCGGUAGUAGAUCAGCAGAGGGACCUCCUUCAGUUCGUUUGUUGCGUGUGUUAGUUCAGACUUCGUAGCGUAGCCCAAUGGUAUGUGUUUUGUUGUGCAAGUAGUGAGGUGCGGGGUUCGAUCCCCCCCUCGACACCUUUUUGUAUUUGAUUUUAUCGGCACAAUGUCCUGCAGAGAGGCUUACCUUGCCUGAACCCUCUGUUAUGUCGAUAAGUUGACAGUAGCAGAGUGGUAAGGGUAGGUUUGUUGAACCAGUGGGUUCUGGGUUCGAAUCCCAGGGAGCCCUCCUUUGUUUUUCUCUUUUUGCUGCAAUUUUACUUCCUUCUUUGUUGUCGCUGUUCUUGUGACAAAAGCAUAGGUGGCAAUGGCAUUCUUUUAAUUUUUCCUUUGCUGUUAUAUUUGUGUUAGUUGUUGUGGUGUGUGGAUGUGCUUGUGAGAAGUGUAUGUGAUGUGUGAGCAUACACAUGAUGUUGGCCACAAGGGAGUGUGUGAGUAAGUGGUGAUGCACUUGUGUGUGUGUAUAUUCACUUAGUAGAGUAGUGAUGCAUGUGCUUAUGGUCAUGUUUUUUCCACCUUAGUUGAGAUUGGCAUUUUAUCACCUUCCUUGUAUUGUGUAGUAGUGGUAGACGAUGAGGUGUUUGUUGGGUGCUUCUGAGAGAUGUGCAUGUGUGUGUGUGUGUGUUGCACACACAUGAGGUGUAGCUAGUGUAGGCAUGCUUGUGUGUGUGAGAAGCUUUCCACCUUUGCAAGCAAGCCUUGCACCUCCACAUGUCCAUAUGUGAGAGGGCAUGGGAUGUUGUUUGUGUGGGAAGCUUAGUAGUAGGGGUUGUGAAGUUGAUGUGCAUGACACAAACAUGGGGUUCAAACCCCCAUUUCACUUUGUCAUUGUGCACAUGAGCUCAACCUUUGUUGAUGUUGAUAUAGUGGAACUACAUGAAAUGAUGCCCUAUUCACUAGGCAUGAUUUGAAGUAGUUUCCUCUUUCUUAAUUGUGGUCACUUGUUCCAAGUAGGUGCCCACAUUUUAUAUAUGAUUUUGGGGUAGAAUCUCCCAAGGAAUCCAGUGGUGAAGUUAGUUUUUCCAUUAGGAUACUUUAUGGAGUUGACAUAUUCAGAUUUGUUGCAAGUUUGCUCUUUGUUUCCAUGGAAUAGGUGGAGCCCAAGGGCAUGAGUUUUUGUGUGGUAACAGUAGAGGUUUUGCUCUACACCAUAGUGGUGUCAUUUAUCACUUGGUGUUAUUUGUGUGCAAGCUAUGCCUAGACAAAGUGGGCAUGUGGCUGAAAAAGUCCAGCUUAGUGAAAUCUGGAAUUUCACCAAGUCUGAGAAUCUGGAAACAUUUUCUUCUCCUAUAGAUGAGGUUGUGCUUGUCAUUGUGUUGUGAACUAGCGUUAGUUCAGUGCUAGGAUUUUGGACCUGAUAUGUUUUUGAAGCUCCCUGUAAAAUUUCAUCUCAUUUGGAGUGCUGUAGAUUAUGUUUUGGUUGCUGUCAAAAAGCUUCAGAACAAAGACAGGAAGCCAGGUGCAGGAAUUUUCACUAAGUCCCUGAGAUCUGAUGGUUUUGGGAAAGUUUGUGGCCCUGUAUCUUCUUGUGUUUAAUUCCUUUUGGUGUGAUUCUUGCUGGUGAUUGUAGUGUUCUUGGUUGUCUACAGCCACAUAUAUUAUUUGUCAUAUUUGGAGGGCUGUAGCUAUGUUGCAUGUAGCUCACAAAGAGCUAAGAUGCAGAUUAUGGCAGAUUGAGUAGUAUAGUCAUUUUGAUGAUUGUGUGUGCUUAGUUGAUGUUGUGGUGUUCUCCCUUGCUCCAAUUCAUUCAUGUUGGGUGGUUAUAUGUCUUGGCAACCUGCGAAUACCAGAUUUGUGCCAAUUAUGGGUGUGGUGUUGAUUCUUACACGUAGGGCUUCAUAUCUUGUUUCGAUGAUUCCCGUUGAUCCGUAGCUCCGGUUGUAAUGUUCUUUAUAUGGUUUUGCAUCGUUUUCACGAGACGCAUCUGUUCAUGCCAUUCUCAUGCAUGUAAAAAUAGCUUAGUGUACAGUUUUUUCCAGAAACUUGUAGUAGUUUCUUUGCUUGUGCUAGUGAUAGAAAUAGUAAUGCAUGCUCAUUUUCAUCUCAUGCAUCAUGUGCUUGUUGCAUCUUGUGGUGCUGCUGUUCAUUGGUUGUUAUUCUUAUGUUGGGUAGCACCGGGAUCGGAGAACGAAUACGUGGAGUCAGGAGAGUACGUGCAGGACGAACCAGAACCAUUCCAAGCUGAGGAUAUCACAGGCAAGAUGAUAUGACCUUGAUUCCAUCUCUAGACUUGUUAUGCUAGUUUGCGUUUCCAUGUCAUAUUGCUCGCUGCCUACCACUGAAUUAAAUUGCCUCUUGAUAUGCCAUGAACCCAAACACUGAUCCCUUCCUAGCAAAACUUGAAUGGCUAAGUAGGCUUUGCUCAGCUACUAAUGUUAGCGUUGCUAGAUGCAGGUGCUUUGACUCAUGUGAUAACAUGAGCUUGAUAUCAUUAUCUUAAAUUCUGUUAUUUAAUUAAUGCACUUAUAUACUUGGUAAAUGACGGGAGGCCUAGCCUUUUGCCGGGUGCUUUGUUCCGUUAUUGACGCCUUAGUUACCGGCUACCGGUGUUUGAUUCCAUAAUGAUCGCUCCUAACACGUUCGGGGUUGUUAUGGGGACCCCCUUGAUAAAUCGCAUAGUGCUAAGGCUUGUCCGGCAGGACCCAACAUUGGUUUUAAUCUGCUAAUCACAUAAUAAUCUGCAUAGGGAAUAGUUACCCGAGGAAUUUAAUCAACAACCCGGGCCAGUGCUCCUCAUGAGUGUUGGUCCCACCUGAGUGAUGUCCGGGGCCCCACUGGUCACCCAGAGGUUUAGCCAUCCCGACGUCUAGCUCAUCCGUCGUGUCCUGAGACUGAGAUACGCGGCUCUUAUCAGGGUCGUCGACACGACGGGAGGUCCUGCUAGCCUUGUCUUACCUUAGCGAUAUAUCUUGCGUAUAGGAAUCCCAGUGAAGCUUUGGUUUCCCUCAGAGUAGAGGUUUUCCUCUAAGGAAUCCGACGAGAUCACGAGAUUCGUGAUAGAGGAUGCCAUUGUGGCCUGUGUACGUUUGUGGUGGACUAGUUGGAGCACCCCUGCAGGGUUUAAUCUUUCGGAAAGCCGUGCCCGCGGUUAUGUGGCAACUUGGAAUAUUUUGUUAACAUCCGGUAUUAAAGAACUUAAACAUAAGCUAAUAAAAUUGCCAACUGUGUGCGUAACCGUGACUGUCCCCCUCGAAGAUCUCUCUUCGAUCGGGAACACGGUGGGGUUAUGAAUGUCGUAGGUAGGUGUUCAGGAUCACUUAGUGAUCAAGUAAUCACGACCGCUAGUGUAGACCACCUUCAUAUUUGCUUUAGGUAAGUUAGCCACCAAAAUCAAGCUUAGGAUGCUGCAGCCUUAUACACUUCACCCUUACCCUACCUAAUAACAUGACUAGUUCUGGCACCAAGGUCUUAGAUUGCUGAGUCCCCGUGGCUCACGGAUUCCUCCAAAACUCCCAACAGGUACAGGUACCCAGAGACAGAUGAUCCCGACGGCACCCAGCUGGCGUGGCAGUACGACGAGGAGACAGACCGCCUCUACGUGAACUAUCCAGAGGAUUGAGGCAUGGUCGUGAUCGUGGGCCUGCACGCAGGGUAGCAUAGCAUUUCCAUGUUUUGUAGUCCGUAGCGGAACUACCUUGAUUGUAUCUGUGAUGUACUCUGAGUUAUUAAUGAGAAGACAAUUGAAUCCCGAAUUGUCUACUUUUAUUAUUUUGUGCUAUGUUACUUGCUUGCGAAACGCUUAGAUGCGCUUCUUUCCUAUUCGGGGACUCGACCCCCAGAUCGGAAAGGACCGCAUAUUGGUCAUUACAAUUAAUGCUCCGAUGGCAUUGGCAACACGUUCUUCUGACUGACAUUUCGGCUUAUUACAAUAAAAAAAAAGGUCUUACCGUAUACAAAUAAGCAUAAAUAAAACACCGAUACUUAAAAACAAACUUUAUUUCUUUAAGCAUCUUCUCUAAUUACCUUGCAUUGUACUCCCUCCGUUUCAAAAUAAAUAACUUAAAAUAACUCAACUUUGUAUAAAAUUAGUACAAAAUUAAGUUACUUUUGAAUUACUUCUUUACCUAUUAAUAAAGCAGUUACUGCUUCUGCCGUACGUUAUAAUUUUUACACCUAAAGUUGCCCUAAAUUACCCACCAUGCCAUCCACAAGUUAAGAAAACGAUUCAGAUUUUCGCCCUUGUCAAAAUCACCGUGAGAUAUCGUUUUUAUAAGUUUGGACAAGAAAUUGGUACAAACGCAUGCGUAGCAUAGUGGCUAAAGCCGCCCAGGGCAGACCCGGGUUUGAUUCUUGGAUCCUGCGUCUUUUUUCCAGUAUCUCCUUUUUCUUUUUAUUACAACUAGCAUGCACAUCCUCCUUUCCUUUCCACUACGUUUUCAUGGCCGGUUCAUGUUUUUAUCUUUAAUUUUUAUGUCCUUUUUCUCAUUAAUUUUUUAUUUUUCCUAUCUUUAAAUUAUUUCGUAAUUUCUCAAAAAUCCAAAUUUUAAAAGUUGUGAGUUCUAAAAAAUGUUCAUCAAAUCAUACAAUGUUUGUUAUUCGGAAAAUUCGGACUUUGUAAAAAACAAUGAAUUUUAAAAAUGUUUACGAUUUUUAAUAAUGUUCGUUAUUUCAAAAAUGAAUUGUGGAUCAGACAAAUGUUCAUUAUUCAAAAAAUAUUCAAAAAUUUGGAAGAAUUUAGGAAAAUUAAAAAUAAAUAAAUAAAAAAGUAAAUAGAAAAACUAAGAGAAAAUGUGAAACCGAAAAGAAAACAUAAAAACGUAAGAUAAGAAAAAAUAAAAACCAGGCAAAAAGAGAUUCAUUUUGCGAAAGCGAUGGACACUAAACUGUUGAUAUGAGGUUUAUGUACGAGUGAUUUAAUAUUGAUUUUCAUAUUGUUUGAAAUUGUGCUAAUAAUGAUUAUUAUUUUCAUACUGUCAUGUGGUCUAUUUUAGUAGUUCUCUAUAAGAUUGAUUUAAAUAGCUUUAGAAUUUAAGCGGUUAAGUCUUUUAGGUUUAGGUUUUACUUAGUUCUUGAGAAGUGUUUAUAUGCCUAGGGGUUGGGAGUAGUUUGUGAUCGACGAGAUUAGUUGUUAAAGUUUUAAAAAUUCCAUUGUGCUACACAAUAACAAGUGUGGCGUGCAGUGGCUGGCUCAUAGUCUUAAGAUUUACCACGUCAAAUGCAUUAUAAUUACAUGGACACACCGGACAUCAUUAAAGAGCGUGGAAAAAAUAAAGAAGUGUCAACAUGAUGAGCCACUGUGUUACAAUUAAAAAAAUAGAGGACGCUCAUACAUCGAGGUAUUGAGUCAUACUUAUUUAAUUAGGGCGUAAUAUUUUGACUUCCGUUGCAAUGCACAAACAUAUUUGCUAGUAUUUUAAAAUGGAGGAAGGGAGUACAAGUCGUAAUGCGACGUGAACUGGGCCGUGACUCAAUCCGGCACCGACCCAAACCGAGACAUACCGACUUAACCCUCCCAGUUAUUUAUUUUUUUAUACCAAAUCCCACAGCCUCGAACCGCACCUUCAAUUCCAUGGACAUAUAUCAGGUGACAUGCACCUUUGCAUGUCAUCGUAUGACUUGCGGUUUAAAUUUAAAUUUAAACAUUGCAAAAAAAUAUGAAAAAAAUCAUGCAUGUUCACAACACAUAUUAAGAUAAUCCCUAAAAAAUUCAGAUCAAAAUUCGAAACAUACAUCAAGAAACAAAAAAGAGAAAUCUGUCAUAAAUAGUCAUGAAUGGUUUUGUGUAGACUAUUCAUAUAUGAAUUUUUUUUUUUGUUUUUCGGUGUAUGUUUGGAAUUUUGAUCCGAAUUUUUUAGGGAUUAUCUUAAUAUGUGUUGUGGACAUGCAUGAUUUUUUUUAAGAUUUUUCCAUAAUGUUUAAAUUUGAAUUUAGGCCACAAGUCACACGGUGACAUGCAAACAUGAUCUUUGUCCCAAUUCCACCGCCGCGAAAACCAAAACCCGCCACACUCAUCGACCUCCAAAACCCUAGAGCCAUGGCGACGGAGACAACCCCCGCCGCCGCGCCGCGCCUCCUCCUGGGCCCGCCCCUGGUCCGCGCGGCGCGCCCGUCGCCUGCCGCGGACGACACCUCGGAGUCGCACCCGUUCCUCGACCUCCUCGACGCGGCCUUCAACGCGCCGUCCGCGGCCGAGGGCAAGGCGGCGCUGACCCCGCGGGCGGCGCUCACGGACAACUGCAACGCCACGCACGCCAACUCGGGCGACCCCUGCGUUGAAUUGUUUGAAUUUUAAUAAUUGUUUGAAUUCAAAAAAGUAAAUCAUGUGACAUGACAUCAAACCCUAGGUUGUUUAGGAUCGAUAGCUUACUAUUGUCAGGAGAACAACAAGUGCAGACUUGGCAACUAGGGGCGAUAGAACCAGGAAGUUAAACGUGCUCGGGCUGAAGCAGUGAAAGGAUAGAUGACUGGCCGAGAAGUUAGACGAUUUGAAAUGAGUAAUCUAUGCUAGAGCAGUGAGGAUGGGUGAUUAGAGAUUAAAUUGUCAAAUAAAUCAAAGAUUUAAAAAUUGAAAUAAAACAUAAAAACAAAUCAAAGAAUAUUCAAAAAUAAAAUUUGAAAAAUAAAUAAAAAAGGUACCUUUUUGGGUCAAACAAACAAAAUAAACAGACGGAUCCUUUAGUCCUAGUCCGUGUUAAGACCCGUGACUAAAGGGCCUGCCCUUGAGGGCGCUCCGAGGCGCCCACGUGGAGCACCUUUGGUCCCGGCUUGGAACAGGGCCGGGACUAAAGGCGCCUCUUUGGUCCCGGUUGGUGAACCGGGACUAAAGCCCCUUACGGGCCGGGACUAUAGGCCCUGUCCCCUCCAGUGAGAGGAUAAAUCUUGAGAAAUCUUUGGUGUUUCUUAGUGAGGGAUGCUCACAUGUAGUAAGAGAUGAGAGCACAUAUUUUGAGUAUCCAAAAUGAGGCACUUACUAAGAAAUACUCCCUCCGUCCCAAAAUAAUUGUCUUAACUUUGUACUAACUUUAGUAUAAAGUUGUACUAAACUUAAGACAUUUAUUUUGGAACGGAGGGAGUAUUUGCGAAUGCCCAUUGUUGUCGUUAACUUAACUCAAAGUAUGAAGCUUUCAAAUAUUUAAAGGAUCUUGUCUCGAAUAAAAUUUGUGGAUGGAUCGACAAAACCUUACCUAUUGGGGUCAAGGAGGUCCUUAGAGCUUUUUUAGCAGACCCCGCAAACUGGUCAAACCCGUAAAAAACGAGGUGUUUACAGUUUCGGUCAGAAAAACGACGCGGAGCAGACCCCGUAAACCUUGAUCGGUUCAUAAAUUAUUGAAGGGGCAUGGUAAAUCUAUCCAUGGAAAACUUGUCAAACCUCGUCGAAGCAAACACGCCGUCGUGGAACUAGCCGAAAUCUACCUGGAACUCCCCGGAAUCUGCCCCGCAUGUCGGAAGAAGUAGCCGCACACCGAAAUUAUUCGCCGCCGGUCCGAAUUGCGGCCAGCUCGACCUCCACUACCGAGAUGAGACCGUCCACGGGUAGGAUGGAGCAGGCCAUCGGUGGCCAGAAUCAGGGCGGGGCGUGUCACGCCCAAGAUGCGACCCUAUCCUCAAUUUGGCACGAAGGCCUCGUCAGGGAUAGAAGCACAUCUCGUCGUGUCGCAAGAAUGGAUAUCGUUACAAGUACAUGUACUGAAAAGAAGAGAUAUAUAUACAUAGUUGACUUACACUCGCCACAAGCUACAUCAGAGUCUCAUCAGUACAUUACAUAAUCAUCAAGAGUAAGAGCAGGGUCCGACUACGGACGAAAACAAACGAGAAAAAUAAGAACGACGUCCAUCCUUGCUAUCCCAGGCUGCCGGCCUGGAACCCAUCCUAGAUCGAUGAAGAAGAAGAAGAAGAAGAGGCAACUCCAAAUGAACAAUCAACGCGCUCGCGUCAAGUGACCUUUACCUGUACCUGCAACUGGUGUUGUAGUAAUCUGUGAGUCACAGGGGACUCAGCAAUCUCAUUUCCAAAGGUAUCAAGACUAGCAAAGCUUAGUGGGUGAGGCAUGGUUAAGUGGUGACGUGGCAGCAAUGGCUAAGCACAUAUUUGGUGGCUAAACUUACGAGUACAAGAAAUAAGAGGGGGGAAGAUCUACGCAUAACGGACGUUACUACUGAUAGUCAAAUGAAUGAUCCUGAACACCUACCUAUGUCAGACAUAACCCCACCGUGUCCUCGAUCGGAGAAGGAACUCACGAAAGAGACAUUCACGGUUACGCACACAGUUGGCAUAUUUUAAUUAAAUUACUCCAAGUUAUCUAGAACCAGUGUUAAACAAAGUUUCCACGUUGCCACAUAACCGCGGGCAUGGCUUUCCGAAAGAUUUAACCCUGCAGGGAUGCUCCAACUAGUCCAUCACAAAUUACCACAAGCCGCAUAGAAAUCCUCAAUCACGAAGCUCGCGACCUCGUUGGAUUCCCUAGUGGAAAACCUCAACUCUAAGAUUACUCAAAGCAUCACCGGAAUUCCGAUGCACAAGAUAUCUCGUCAAAGGUAAAACUAAUCCAGGAAGGCCGCCCGACGUGUCGACGAUCCCGAUAGGAGUCGCGUACCUCGUUCUCAGGACACGACGGAUGAGCGAUGGUUACCACGCCAAACGCCGAGUUGCCCCGGGUAGCGCUAAUAAGCUGCUCUAUUUUGGACCAACACUCAUGAGGAGCACUGGCCCGGGGGUUGAUUAAAUUAUCCUCGAGGCCCGGGAAGUCCCUAUGCAAUUUUAUUAGGUGAUUAGGCAAAUGUAGUACCAAUGUUGGGUCUUGCCAGACCAGCUUUAAUCUAAAACGAAUUAUCAAGGGGGUCCCAUAACAACCCCGAUCGUGUUAGGAGCGCUCAAUUAUGGAACAUAACACCGGUAGCCGGAAACUAAGGGGGCAAAGGUGGAACAAAACACCAGGCUAGAAAAGGUCGAGCCUUCCACUUUUUACCAAGUAUAUAGGUGCAUUAAAUUAAAUAGCAUUUAAAUAUAGUGAUAUAACAAGGAACCCAUGUUAUCACAUGGAAGCAACUGCACGAGCAACUAGCAACGCUAACAACAGGGUUAAGCAAGCAGUAACAUAACCAAUCAGUGGUUUGCUAGGUUGAACAGGUUGAAGGUUAACAUGACAUUGUUGAGAGACUGGUAUUUAACAUGUGGUAGGCAACGAGACAUAAUCGACAGAAACGGUAAACUAGCAUGGCAAUGAUAGUAAUGGUAUUUGGAGAAAUGAUCAUCUUGCCUGAGAACCCGCUUGGAAGAAGAAUGACUCCGUGAAGCAGACGAACCGAUGUAGUCGAACGGGUCCUCACAAUCCGGCACGCUGCGGAACUCUAUCGAGACGAAGCAAACCGGAAACGGAAAUCAACACACGGAAUUCACCACACGAUGCACAACACAUAUGAUGCAUGAGCAGCUGAAUAUAUGCAAGUCACGGCAUGACAAUUCACAACAACCAAAUACUACACAUUAAGUGAAGUUCAAUAUGCAACGAGUUGCAUAUUGACGAAACUCCACGUUAAUUAUUUAGUUGUAUCCCGAGUAGAUACACGGUAAUAUUAAAUGUGAUUAAACAUGGCAAGAGGUGAAGCGCAAAUAAUCUACCUAUCUAGGCAUUUUAAAUGAGGUCGGAAAUGACAUAUAGCACCUCCGAGAUGACCUCACAUGUUAAUUUACAAUUCCGUCCAGAUCUGAACUAAUGCAUUUAAUUAGUUGUUAAACAGCAAAACAAAUAGGUUCACGUGAUUCUACGCGUCAUUUCAGGCAAACUACACAUAGAGAACAUCUUCAACGGAGCUACGGAUCAAAAGUUACAAGCACCUCAAGAUAUGAUGGCAUGAAUGCAAAAUGUAUGCAACGGCGGCUACGAGCACUUCAAAACACCCAACCAGCAAGGGAAAAUGAAACUACACGAGAUUCUAAGCAAGUUUCAUGUAGGACACGUUCAAAUCGGAGCUACGGUUCAAAAACUGCGAGCAAAACAAGAAAUGACUACAAUCUGCCAAAAUCAGCUACAUAGCAUAUUCUACGCCCCACAACUACGAGCUACACAACUCCGAUAAACUCAAGCAAGGCAUGGCACGAAAGAGGGCAAGAAGCAUUACUACAAACAACUAACAACAACUAGCAUGGCAGCAAGGAGCACUAGAAAAAGAAGACACAAAAUGGCUUCUCACACAUUAUUUCAGACUUAUUGAAAAUUACACCUCAUGAAUGUGCAUUUUUCGAUCUGAAGCUAUAUUGGCAGCAGCAAAACCUAUAUCUACAGGACUCCUAAUGACAUGAAAAUUUACAGCAUGCUAGGGAAACAUAAGGGGUACAACUAACUCCAUUUGACCAACCUCAAAAGAGCUACAGAUCAAAAGAAACAAGCAAGAUAAGACAUCAACAAAAUAUUACAGAUUCCAGACUUAGAAAUAUUUUAGCUCCUCCAAAACAGCACUAUUUCUAGCAACUUGAGAGCAAGCAAACAACACCUAAACAUGCAUUUCUAUUGCAACCAAAAAUACCAGGGGCUAAACAAAACAUCCACGAUCAACUCUCUAGUUGACAACACCGUCAAACGACGCACGGAAGAAAUCCUACGAAUUAAACAAAAGGGCAACAUAGCAAAAUAUCUCGCGAACUAACUUCCUCAAAAACUAAAACUAAUUCAUGGAUUUUUCUAACCCGAAAACAUAUAAAAUAUGUGGGGUUGCACAACAAUAUAAAGCCACACGAAAAUGCGAGAAAUAAUCCUAGACACGGAAAAUAAUCUAGCGACAAAUCCCUAUACGCAAAAGUAUCAAUGGCCGCUCUAAAAUACGUGAAAUAAUGGUCCCUAAAACAUGGGCAUUUAUCUAAGGCAUUCGAGCAACCCGAUCUUGCACGAAAAAUAAAUAUAUACGGGUCGAAACCUUAAAAAAUCGGAUUCUACGCGAAAAGUUACACGAGGUACAUAUGCUACUCGUCGCAAUCUGACAAACGGUUUAAAAGAUACACGCGUUUUAUAUACGUCUAUUCCUGUGGAAUUUAUACUAUUCCGAAAAAAUCACCUAAGUAACUAAUGGGCCUAACAGCAUGCGCAACAUAUCUAAAAUGUGCGGGGGCGAGGAAUAGCCUCACCUGGGCAGGCCGUGGCCCGGAUGCGAGGAGGAGGCCGAGGCCUGGGGCUUGGGGACCCUGGGCCGGCUGCGGUUGGGUCCAGCCAAGCCGGGGGGCGAGCUGGGCCGAGGCCCACGCGACCAGGCUGCAGUCACGCAGGCGGUUGCCUCGUCCUCCCGUGCCCGAGGCACGAGGCCCUGGCGGUGCUGCACCUCGCUGCAGGCGGACGGGGAGGACGUCCCAGCCGGCAGCCAGGCGAGGCCUCCACGGCGGCGGGGAAGGCCGGAUCUGGCGCAGUUCGAGGGGGCGGCAGCAGCACAUGGCGGCGCGGAGGCCGGAGGGCCGAUGUGGCGGCGAGAACUGGCGCUGCGAGGGUCGGCUCGAACUGGCGGAGAAGGCGCGAGGGCGGCCGGAUCCAGGGCAGCACGGGGCGGCGAGCUCCCGCGAGGAGGACCGGCAGCGGUGCGCGCAGCGACGCAUGUCGUCGGCGGGGCUGCUGCACGCGGCGGCGCUCGGGGCUGAGGCAGAGCGCACGGGAGCAGGGAGGCGACGGCGAGCUGAGGAAGAACGGGGCGGCACGGCAGAUCCGGGCCUUCGGGGCCUGCUUCGGCCCGGGGCAGGCCCGAUCUGGGCUGCUGCGGCGGGGAGGAGAGAGUGGCAGCGGGAGAGACUAGGGUUUGGUGGGGGCUGCGCGAAAAACGAGGAGGAGAGAGUGGUAGGCUGCCUUAAAAAUAGGAGGGGUAUAUAUAGACAAACGGGGGGGCUAGGUUAGCCGGAAUUUCGUUCCGGAUCCAACCGUGCGGUCGGAUUCGGACGAUUCCGAACGCGGGAACGGGUACGCGGCCGUGUAGAGGGGAUAACCGAAGACGAGAGGGAGAACGGGCGGCGCGGCAACGAGUUUUCAAACACCGACAAACGUCCGACGGUAGACCGAAUACGGUGCCGCUACGGUCGACCGUUCGGGUACCAGACGAACUCCGAUCACGACGAAACUUGACAGGCGGCCUACCUAUAUUAAAAUAAGACCGCACGUCAAAUCUCAACCCAAUCAGAGAAAGUUUUACGCGCACUUUAAAAACAGGGUUACGAAGGUGCCGCGGGCGCGUGCGAGUGCGGUCGGGCUCAGAACGGACAACGACGAGAACCGACAACUAACAACGGAUGCAAGUUUUCGAAAACUGGCGGCAACAGGAUGCCGAUGCAAUGCAGAUGAUGCGAAUGAUGCGACAAAAUAAAAUAGACACACGACGAAAACGGGAAGGAAAGGGAAUCUUUUGGAAUGUCGACAUCGGGUUGUCACAGGGCGGCACCGGAGAAGAGUGGGGCAGGCUGAGGGAGCUCGUGCAGCUACGACGGCGGGCGGUGUCGAGCUCAAUCGGGGACGGGCAUUGCCGAGCUCAAUCGGGGGCGGGCGGUGCAGGUCUCCUCCACUGCAUGCAUGGCCGGGAACGGGGGACGACAAGACGAGGCGGGGACGAGGCGGGCGGCGCCGGAGCGCGAGGGCGAGGCACGCUCAGAUGAGAGGAAAAAAGAAAAAUAAUGACCUAUAGUGGAAUACAGUUCCAUUUACGGAGUUUAUUCUCUGUCGAGAGAAAUUCCACACCAUAAAAAUGGUUUACAGUGUCCUUUAUACACGUUUUUAAAUGUCGGUUUUUAUGAGGUGUGUUAAUGAUGCUCUUAUUAAGUCGGUUUCAUAGGCAGUCCUUGUUUUUCUCUAUGCCGUGUCUCCAAGGCACCUCACGAUUUGGGACACCACAUUAAUGCUAUGAUAAAAAAAAUUGGUUGGGGACACCGAAGAGGCGAGAGUCUCGUGGGAGGUUAGACUUGUGCCAAUUCAUCGUCUUUUAUCAUGUUAUCAUAGAAACAUUAAUAAUUUAAGAUACAACCAUGUCAAUGCAUUAUUUUUUAUGAGUUGUAUCUAUAUUUUAUAAUUUAGGGUAAUGCAUGCAUAUGAUUAGGCUAGAAUCAUUUUUUAUCUAUGACCACGUCAGUUGUAUGUUAGCUAAGAUACAACCCCACUCGCUUUUUUCAUUAACUAGUACACCACGUCAAAAAAAUGCCUACGAAACCGCCCUAAAAAACUAGCAUUGAGACAUGCCUUAUGACUAGAACGAAACACCUGAGGUCUGGGCUUUAGGGAUAUUGAACAUUUGAAUCUGGCUUUUAGCAUGGCGGCUUAUCUAGGACCCAAUCUCUUUGAGUCCUCGCAUGGCGAAUUAAGUUAGUUACUCCCUUCGUUCUUAAUUAAUUGUCGCAACUUUGUCACUUUCGGAUGACUCGGGUUAGUACGUCGGAUUGGGUGAAGGCGAAAGCUAGCCAUCUUAAAAAUAUAAUUGAUCGGUAACGACGGAAGUGAAAAUUUCGGUUCAUUAAAGACUACAAAGUUUGGGAACAUUCUCCAAACUAAACCCUCAAUAUUUUCCUCCUACAUUAAUCGGAGUUGAGGUUUCACGAUCAUGGUCAACAUGAUAUUCUGAGAAAAUGAACUUAUAAAUGAAGUAUUUUUUUCAGAAGAUGUCUCUUAUGUCAAAUAGUAAUAUAACAUAUCUCUCCACGUACCUUUGUUUUGUAAAAAUCGUAUGGUCGGAUUGCCUUGUUUAUCAUAAAUCUAUGCCUUAUCAAGGCUUUAUAAAGUCGGACAAACACUGCUCGACUACUGGCCGAAGAGGUUGAAGCCGAUGGUCGGUAAACAUAGUCUUGUACAAUGCGGAUCCAAGCAUUAAUGACGUAAAGUACUUGAAUACAUAGAAUCAUUAGACAUAAAUUGUGUCAAAUAUAACAAAGUUAGUGUCAAACAAAUAUCAAUCAUUAGUUUCAUCACCCAUCCCAAAUUAGGGCUCCAUAAUUUUCAGAUUUUUGGCCGACACACACCUUGAGGGCUACUGGCUAUACAUCUCGGUAGUACAUAAAUGCGGCAAUCGGAAAUAAAUUCCGCAAAAAAGAGUCCGAGACUGAGGUGGUGCACCACCUCGAAAGCAGUCCGGCAUAAAUCUCGGAUGCGAAUGGUUGGCUUCAUAAAAGACUAUUCCGGCAAUUAAGCUCGGAUGAACCCCUUCAAAUUUUCAGAGACCAAGGUAAUUUAUGACACCUCGAAUGCCGGCCAAUGUUCGACCUCGACUGCAAUUCGGCGUUAGAGCUCGAAUGCAAGUGGACACCGCCACACGGAAAACACUUCAAACCCGAGGUGUGAUCUAAAAAUAACAAAGACAUUGAUAAAGCCCGAGAAAUUAAAAGGGGCUCCUUGGACGCUCGACGUGUGUACUUAUCGAACGCUACCUGACGUGCGAACUCAUCGGAUUCUUGACGUGCGAACUCUUUGGAUACACCUCAGCGAUCCUCAAGAUCUGAGAGGAGAAGAUUGGUUGAACCAGCUUUGAAGACCGACGACCGAAGAUGAAGAACUAUUCGGAAGAACAGAGGAGCGUCACCAACCUGAAGACCAGGGGCUGCUGACGGUGUCCAAAACUAGGGGGUACUCACGAAUUCGUCUCCCGACCAGAUGGGUCAGGCCAAGGACCCCAUGAUGAUUCAUUGAUAGGCCACUUUGGGCAGCCCAUGAUGCAUACAAAUAAGAUUUUACAAGACUUGCUCGCAAGACAAGGACUCCUUUAAACCCUAAACCCAUAUUAUUUUGCACAACCACUAUUACAUGCAACACAAGAAACACUUGGACAUACUAAGCAGACUAUUCACAUCGACUAAAGCAUGAUAGUCUACCUCACGGCUUAUAUAACAAUUAAAAAGGUAAUUAUGAGGAUGGUUUCCUUGAGCGAGGUUUGCGCGCACCUAGACGGGAAACAAAGAACGUCGUCCAAUCCAUCGCCAAGGGUACAACCUUCCGGCGGUUAAUAUUCUUAAAGCUCGUCAACUUCACCAUCACCCCCGUCUCAAGCUCCGCAGCAUACACGUUCCAGUCGUCGUCCUUGACGAGCAACACGCCACCCUCCUCUCCCACAAUCGUCAAGUCCAUCACACUAGUAGUUUCCCAGCUGGGUGGUUUUAACAAGUCCACAAACGCAGCGCAUAGCCAUACUGCAGGACGACCACCAUCCUCAUCUUGCCGCCGUGUCCAUAUCUCUAGCCUCAAACCCUGCCUGUGCAGGUAAAGUAACGAUAGCUUCUCGCCGGCAUGGACAAUAAGCUGUGGCUCAUCAUAAUAUUCAGUCCUCUUGUGUUUGGCCGGGAUCGCAAUCUUUGUCAGGGAGACGCUGCAUGUCUUAGCGUCCACCUCAAUGGUGUGCAGGCUCCAGUCAUGGCCUCUGCAAUGACAAAUGAGCCAGUGUGCCGUGCCUCGGCACACAACGGCACGGGGGUCCCUGAGGGGCAACCAAUUACCCGUCAACCUACCCUUGUUAUCACUGGAUGCAAAUAAACUACUCGGACCGCUCCACCUUGCCUCGCCGGACGUGAAUUUGUGGAGGUUGCAUGGCCGGUGAUCCCUGUCGGUACCAAUGAUGAGCACUUUAAAGAAGGCCGGGUAACCGUGCUUGGCGUUCUUCUUGGUUAGGAUGGCAUAGCCGCCGCUCUUCUUGAAAUCCCAGUUACACUUGAGCGGGGGCAGCUCGUCGCACGAUCCAACGAGCAAAUUACACACGGCCAGGCGGACGAUGGAGUUGGAUGAGAGGUCGACGAGGCGCACGAGGAGGAGGCCGUGGCGAGCGACGAGCGGCACCGCGUUCUCCAGCCGGGCCCUCGUCGCUCUAGAGAAAAACGUCUCGAGAAACCAGUGAUCGGAACUGAACACCGAUCGAGGAGUGGGUAUGAAGGAGGUGAGAAGGGUUGAGCCCCGUCCGAAGCUGAUCUUUUCCCAGAUGAAAAACCCCGAGAGCGACGACGACAUGUGAUCCGGCCAGCGUCGGUGACGGAGGAAGGAGGGGCUGAGCAUGAUGCGGCGCCACUGCUUGCACGCCAUGGCGCAACGGAAGAGGUCGGCCACGUCCUUCACGCGCAUGAAUAUCUCGCGGACGACGUCGUCCGGCAGCGAGGCCGCCGCCGCCUCCGUCGUUUCUCCCAUAUCGUAUGUGUACCGUGGUGCUCUGAUCGGGUUAUGCAAGUACGUACAUCAUCUCGAGGUGUUGAAAUUUAAAGAGACCAAGUCCUAGUCCGAGUCUUCAUCGAGUCGAACUCACGUCCGAUUCGAAGUAGAACCAAACCGAUUUAUGCAGCCGCGUCGUAUCAACUAUAUAUAUAUGGAGGUGCAUUUGCAACUGGGGGUGAGCACGCUCUUGACAGCCACCACCAAAUGGUGCUACGCGCUCUGCCGUAUCAACUAUGGAGAUGAUCAGCUUCUUGUGGACCUAAUCUCAUGCAAGCUAUGUGUCUGGGUUUAUUUUUCACAUCGUCUUUUUGGUCAAAGUUUGACCACAUAUUUGACUAGCAAAAUGUUAAUGCAUGCCAUAAAUAAUUAUAUUGUUGAAUUCAAAUUUAAAUGUAGUUUUCAGUCUCUUCUGCUCAGCAGCUCGUCUCGAAGAUCUGGGCACCAGGGAAGGUAAAUUUUUUUCCUAUGGCUGCUGCAUCACGGCCGGUUGUGGUGCAACGACCGUCUGCAGCGGCGAGGGUGGGAAAACAACUAUAUUUGCCAGCUCUGCAACAGAAAUCUGGAGUCCUCUUUUCAUUUUCUGUGGGACUGCGAGGUCUCGAGGGAAAUCUGGACGACAGUGGCCUCAUGGGCCGGCUGCGCUGCGCUCUUCCCUGCUUCCUGAAACACGUGCAAGUCCACUAGCGAAGCAAUAACAGCCAUCAUCAACACCGCGGCACCGAGAGAGAAAAAGGGCAUCAAAACAAUGGUCGCCCUGAUCGGAUGGCACAUUUGGCAGGAGAAAAACAACCGCACCUUCAGAAAGAAGUUGCCGAGCAAACGGGAUAUCAUCGCAGCUUAUCGGAGAGACAUGAAGCAACGGAGACUUGUCGGAAGAAAUGGCAUUGAGGCCCCAUUCGGGGAGAUAAUGUGAGAGAUUUCCAUCCAUGCUGCCUUAGUAGGGAGGGUGUCAGUGCCUGCGUGCACUGUUGACCUUCCUAAAGACUACGAUCUUUUUUGAUCAACUUUUUUUUAUGUAACGUCGCUUCCGCUAAGCCAAUGAAUGCCAACGAGUCUGGAUCUUUUAAAAAAAAGUCUCUUCUGCUUCAAUUUAACCCCCUAGACACAUCAACGGUUGAGGUCUAUCCACACUUCUUGUGAAAAAAGGAUGGGAUGGUUAUUUUAGAAAAUACGUCGGCCAAACCACCUGUGAAAGCCGCGAUGCGCCGGCCCAUCAAUGAUGUAUGCAUGUAUGACUGUCAAGUGAAAUAGAAACGAAAAAAGAAUAUUGUCGGGCAAGGAUUCAAACAUGAGACCUCGACUGACAGGAGCGAACUGAUGGUCACUAGCACUAACAAGCACAAGUUGUUAUUUAGGCAGCACAAAGUUUUAAAAGAAGAUAAUAACAGCGUCGGUUCCUGAAAAUAAAAAGCAAAACAUUUUUCUGAAAAAAAUGAAUAUUUCUUAAGAAGCGAAUAUUUUUCAAAAGUUAUGAAAAAAAUUGAACUCGAACAUUUUUUUGAAACUCUCAAACUUCUUUUUGAAUUUUAGACAUUUUUUAAUCACAACAUUUUUUGAAACAGAAAGAAGUUUUCAGGAAUAGUGGGCCCUGUACACAUCUUAACAAAAUUGUUUGGGAAUAAAAAAAUACUCAGAGCAUAAAUUUGAAAAAAUGUUUAUUCAGAGCAUAAAUUUUUCAGAGUCCGUUUACUUACCAUAUCACAUACCUCUUCCUUUUAAGGGUUGCAAAGUGUUAUGGAAGUUCUCCUUUUAAGUGUAUAUCUCUAGUAAUAAUCCGCUAAAAAAACUCCGCCCAGACAAUAAAAUCUCACAACCAAGUCCCUGACAAUUUGUGACCAGCACCCUAAAGUUUUUGUUUUCUUACAAACAAGGACAAUUUUUGACAAGACUCAUGAAUUUUCGUCGGAAAUUUCGGCAGCAUAACACAUUGGGAACGAAGAACCACAACAUGCCUGCACAAGGACGGUACAACCGCUCCACGACAAUGCCUUCUGUUUUGUUUGCUUUGCAUGGAAGGAAGGAAAAAACACCGCCCUUGCCGGCUUCUUCAUUCUUUUUAAUGAGGGGCUAGUAUCUCUCUCCACAGUAGUAUCUAUUUAUCCUUUCUUUUCUUUUAUUUCCUUCUUUUUUGAGGUGCUAGUAUCUAUCUAUCUAUCUUGGAAGGAAGCUGUGCUAUAUCCCAUAUAUACCGGUACUAUACUUUGGCCCUACCCUUCUCCUCUUAUUCUUGCAGCGCAACGUGCUACUAGUUAGUUUUAGUCUAGCAGCCUUACAUACGAUGAUGCUAAAGCCCAAUAAGAAAUCUAGCGCUAUCUAUCUACAACAUAAACCCUGUUUGCACCAAAACUCCAUGCGUCCUCUCUCCUGGUGUUUAAAGGGAUCAGCAAUACUGCAGCUGCAUGCUUUUACUUGUUGUAUGCUUGUCUUAACAAACUCACUCUUUUCUCGAUGUACUGAUGCAAUUUACCUUGACUAAGAUACUACUCGUACUCUCCUAGUGGCAUGAAUUAGCCUAAUCCUAUGAUACGAACUAAAGAGCGUCUUCUUUCAUAUUCCUAUUCAUAUGAUUUACGAUACACGACAUCUCAUUUUUUAUGACUUUUCUAUUCAUAUGGUUUUCGUACCCAUUUAACAAAGGAGGCCUAAUUAAGAAGAUGGUUCAUCCACACCAAAGCGUAAUACUCCCUCUGUCACAUAAUCAAAAAUGCUAGACCUACACUAGUGGAAAACGGGCCUUUGGCCCGGACCUUUAGUCCCAGCCUGCCUCUGGGCCGGGACUAAAGGCCCGGCCACGUCGUCCCAAAUCGCAUUGCCUCCCACAAGGCUUUGGUCUCGGCCCGUAAGGAGCCUUUAGUCCCGGUUUGUGUCCCAAACCGGGACUAAAGGGCUACGCGGUGUGCAGCCCGCAUGUGCGUCACCUUUAGUCCCGGUUUGUGUCUCAAACCGGGACUAAAGUCCUCUGCCUAUAUAUAGCACAGCCCCCCUCUCCCCUCUUCCUUGCAUUUUUCUUGGAUGGAAGAGUGUGGGUGUGUGCUAGCUCUUCAUUUUUUUUCAUGCACUAGAGGUGUUNACGAGAAUAUGGAUAACGACAAGCACCUUGAAGAAGGUCGAGUAGCCGGGCGGCACCGGAGGGUGCUGCUCGGCAUCUGAGGAACAAUCUUCGCCGGUCAGGAUGGCGUAGCCGCUCCUGUCGAAACCCUAACCGCACUUAAGGGGAGGGAGCCUGUCACAUGCCCCGAAAAACACAUUGCACAUGACCAACCACACAGUCGAGGCCGGAUAGACAUGGACAUCAGGCAUGUUCAGGCGCAGGAAGAGGACGAGGCCAUGGCGAGCGACGAGCGNNNNNNNNNNNNNNNNNNNNNNNNNNNNNNNNNNNNNNNNNNNNNNNNNNNNNNNNNNNNNNNNNNNNNNNNNNNNNNNNNNNNNNNNNNNNNNNNNNNNNNNNNNNNNNNNNNNNNNNNNNNNNNNNNNNNNCGAGCGACGAGCGGCAGCAUGUGGGGCAGCAACCCUCUCUUGCGGGCUCUCGCGGGGAGAAAGGUCCGAAGGCCGCAACGGUGGGUACCGAAGAGCGAGUGCUUCGUCGGGACAAAGGUCGUUAGGAAACCAAGGGACUCCGUGAGGUCCGACUUUUCCUAGAUGAGGAGCCCAAAGAGGAACGCUGGCGUCGAGUCCGGCCAGCAUAGGCCGUGGAGGAAGGAGGCCUCGAGUACGACACGACGCAUCUGCUUGCACGACGCGGUGCAAUGGAAUAGGUCGUCGAUGUUGUCCAUGUGCCCAAGGAUCUCGCGGACGACGUNNNNNNNNNNNNNNNNNNNNNNNNNNNNNNNNNNNNNNNNNNNNNNNNNNNNNNNNNNNNNNNNNNNNNNNNNNNNNNNNNNNNNNNNNNNNNNNNNNNNNNNNNNNNNNNNNNNNNNNNNNNNNNNNNNNNNNNNNNNNNNNNNNNNNNNNNNNNNNNNNNNNNNNNNNNNNNNNNNNNNNNNNNNNCCCGUGCUACCGUCGUGCGACGUGGCCACAUGGGAUUAGACGAGACGAGUCUCGGGUGCGCUGUGCAAGGAACCAAACCACCAACGUGGAGGCCGUGGCUUUUUAUAACCUGGAUGGAGGCUCGGGGUCCCCCAGUUGGACUCUAGACCGUCUCGGCCCGAGUGAGCACGUGCCUAACCAGGCCGAGCCUGCUAACCUGCUCGGCCUGGCCCUUCCGACAGCCUUGAAAUCGAAAUUAGUCGCACGCACAAUCGGGACCUCCUAUUCGCCGCGCGUUGCAGCAACGNNGAAUGGGCUAGCCCAUCUUCCGCUCACCCCAACUGGGCCGUCCCAGCUUAUUUUUUGGUUUAAAAAAUAAUAUAAUAAUUGUUUUUCUAUAUUUUUCAAAUUCCAAAACAUUUUUUCGAGAACCAGAACAUUUUUUCAAAUNNNNNNNNNNNNNNNNNNNNNNNNNNNNNNNNNNNNNNNNNNNNNNNNNNNNNNNNNNNNNNNNNNNNNNNNNNNNNNNNNNNNNNNNNNNNNNNNNNNNNNNNNNNNNNNNNNNNNNNNNNNNNNNNNNNNNNNNNNNNNNNNNNNNNNNNNNNNNNNNNNNNNNNNNNNNNNNNNNNNNNNNNNNNNNNNNNNNNNNNNNNNNNNNNNNUUUUUUCAAAUUCCGGAACAUUUUUUCAAAUUUCGAAACAUUUUUUUGAAAAAUCCGAAACAUUUGGAUAAAAAGUCCAGAACAUUUAUUCAAAUGCCCGAUUUUUUUUAAAUUCCCGAACAUUUUUUCAAAUUCCGGAACAUUUUUUUGAAAAUCUGGAACAUUCUUUGAAAUUAUGAAACAUAUUUUGAAAUUCCGAAACAUUUAUACAAAUUCAGGAACAUUAUUGUUUCAAAUUCCAGAACAUUUUUCGAAAAUUCAGUUUUUUUUUGAAAAUUAAGAACAUUUUUUAAAACAGAAACAUGAAAAAAAAAAACAGAAAGGAAAAAAGAAAAAUGAAAAAAAACGGUUCAGGAAACCUUCUAAAAGUUUCCUAAAACCAGAAAAAACCUUCUGGAACCUCUACCCAAAACCGGAAUGCUCCAGUAGUUAUAUGGGCCUGCCCGUUGCGUCGCUCCUCGGUCGCUCGCCUGUGCGAAGCGCCGACUGCUUGACGCAACGAGCGGCAAAUAGGAUAUUAUUCCCGCACAAUCCCCCUCCGCCUUCGUCUUCCUCUCCGACCCGCUCGCCCACGGAUCCGGCCCGCCCCGUCCCUAAACCCUAGCUCCCCGGCGCCUCCCUCCCUCCCCGUCCGGCGAGCGAGCGAUGGAGGACGAGGAGAUGGAGAGGAAGGUGCAGCAGUACCUGCACCGCAAGGGCUUCCGCCUCACCGAGCUCGCGCUGCAGGAGGAGCGCAACCGCCUCUCCACCACCUCCCUCUCCGACGUCUCGCUCUCCAGGUACUUCCCCCGCCGCCGCCGCCGCGAAUCCCCCUAAGUCCCCACCCCGCCGCCCCUUCCGGCGGCUGCAGCAGCCUCGCUCCCCAAGUUCCGCGUGGCAGCCACUGGUUUUCCCGCUGUUUGUGCGAGGAAUGGUGCCAAAUUGGUGAUUCCGAGUGGCCAAGCCGUGGCGGUUUGACUCACCUGACCCGGGCCGGGCUGUUUCUGCUAGGGUUUAAGUUGCUCCGAGUUCAGAAUCAGCUUACCCGCUCGGUCGUGAGAAAUUGGUACUUUGGCUCGUGCAGUACCAAACCUUCAACAUGAUUUGGUCCUUGAGCAGAGUUUGUUAUGGGGGCUAAUCUAGAGAGCAUUAUGUCAAAUACGCUCGGAAACUGCUCUAAUUCCAUGUUAAUCUGUCAAAUCUACCGUGUCCCUCUUUGUUGACAGGCCGGAUAACGACCCAGCAAGAUACUAUGAUGGCUACAAUAAGCUAAGAACAUGGGCAUACAAUUCUCUCGACCAAUACAAGGUGUGCUACAUUACGUGUGGCUUGUGAUUCACGUUUACAGCUCUAGUACAUUUGGAUGCACUUUGCUUCACAGCAUUCACAUAUAUUUUGAGGCAUGUAGCUGCUAUAUCCACACCGUUCAGUAAUCUAGCAUGCUACUCAUGAGUUAUCUUCAUGUUUCUCUUAUUGAAAAUGAGCAUGCCUGCUGGGUGCACCAUGCCUCCAGGAUCAUGGCUGAAUGCUUGCCUGCUAGCUUCAGAUGCAGCAUUUACGAAAUGGUCUUUCUGUCUUAUGGCAUGUGUUCACACUGCAGAGCUCCGUCUAGAAAGCAAAAAACCAUUCACAUAAGCAGAAUCAUGUACUUGUCACAUGAUUGUAGUCGCUGGAAAUCGGAUAUUUGGUUGCAGUGGAUGGACUACUUGCUAUAAUUUGAUGUACCUAUUACAUGGAACGGCCUUUUUUAUUUCCUUGUAUUCAGCUAUAUAUGUUUCGUGCCUCUGAGUUAUUUUUUUUUAUAUUGUAGCAUGAAUUACUCCGUGUCCUUUAUCCAGCGUUUAUCCAUUGCUUCAUGGAUCUUGUGUCAGAGGGGCAUACACUAGAAGGUAAUUAUUUUUGUGGGCAAGAAGAUAUUGGUAGUUGGUGUACAUUUCUGGGAUAAUAUUUGUUUGCAUUUUAUGCAUCCACUUAGUUUAUUUGGGGCAUUUCUGUCAUUGAUAUCACCACACAUGAAUCCUGCAGCUCGGCAAUUUUUCCUUAAAUUUCGGGAAGAUCAUGAACUGAUGCAUUCAAGGGAUCUCCAAAAGCUGGAAGGCACUCUUUCUCCUUUGCAUUUGGAGGUUCAUCAUUUAGCUCUCUUACAGCCAUUCAACUGUGAAUGGAGAUUUCCUUUCGUUUAUUUGAUUUUAUCUUCCCAGGAUUCAAAAAAAUAUGCACUUAUUGUUUUGCGUGCUAUACUUUUCAGGAAAUGGAUCUGGCCCGAUCUUUAAGGCAAAAUAAAUUCAGAAUUAAAUUAUGUGAGGUAGUACGGCGCCAAGUUCUUAUAUAUUUGCAUUCCAUCCCUUUGUUGCAACUACGAUUGUAUGGUUGAGUCACCUUUUGUGAGUUAAAUCAAUGCACUUUCUAGGUCCGUUCUUACCUUUUCUUCCUGAAUCCUAAUGUUCAAUUAGUUGCAAAUAGGAGUAGACGAUACAUCAUCAUGAUAACAUAAUUAAUGCAUAUAUUGAACGCGAGUUUCAAAUAUGAGACACUGACCGCAUAUAGAUAAGUUUCUCACAGUUGCUGGCAAAGCACAUUCUAAGUGGUGAUUUUUAGUUCAAUUGUCAAACUCAUUGCAUGAUGCAUCAUGAUCUCACCUUUUUUCUUUGCUGCAAUGUUGUUUUUCCUAGAAAAAUAUUUCAACUGUUCUGUUUAAAGUUUCCGCGUUUCAUUGCAGUAUUCGUAUGAAUUACUUCUCCAGUAUCUCCAGAAAACACAAGCUCUUGUGAUGCUUGGAAUAAUCAAUGAAAGGAUAAUUUUUGAAGGUACAGUUCCCAGACUGUUGAGAUUAUAUCACACAUUUUACUUACCCUCACUUCUGAAAUCUUUUCCACCACUUUUCUCUAUGCUAUAUUGGCAGUAUCUGCUGGGCAGCCUUCAUUGAUCUCUGAUGAUGCUGAUGUUGUUGCUCUGGUUGGAACUAGUAAGGACUUGGCAAAACAGAUAAAUCAGAAGGAAGUGCAUUGGGGGGUAUGUUACUUAGCACAUUAGUGAUCAAUGUGUUUGUUUCCUAUUACUAUUCUAUCAAAACGGUUAACAAUGCCGAUCAAACAGGGAAAUAAACUCUAGUAGCACUGUUUUUGCCACUUCCCAAACAAGCCUCUUCUAUGAGAGCAAUUUUUCUGUUUAUUCUUCGUUAUCCUGAGUUAUGUGUUAUUAUUAACACUAAAAUUAUGGCAUGCAGUUGCUUGAAGAUUCAGUUGAGGAGCGUAUGGAGAAAGCACUCUCAGAUUCUGAUAGAGCUGAAGCAGAAAGCAAGGAUGCAGAUGCAGAAGAUAAUAACAAGGUAAGAAACUCUCUCAUGGUAUGGGACCCUUGUUAUAUUAUGUUUGUUAUGCUCUCUGCCAUGGAAACCUGGACAUUCCUUUUUUGUCAGCACUCAGAAUCAUGUUUUUGUUCCUCUCUUCUUCUGUUGUGUUUCAUUAUUUCUUAUUGUUUUUCCUACAGAAAAAAUCCUCAGAAGGUGGAAAGCAGGGUGGUUCUCUUAACAAAAAGCUCAAAAAGGAUAAGCUUGUAGGUCCAACAGGGAAAAAUACCAAAUCCGAAACAAGCAUGGUUUCUGCGGCACCUCGUGUGAAACCGGAGCUAACCCUUCCAGCAACGUAAUUUUUUUUCCUCUUUGUAAACUUCUCUAUGAGAAGCUCAGUUUGAUCUACAGUUCUAAAUAAUUUAUCAACUGUAGCCUUUGAAAAAUAUAAAUACCAUUUCUAUAACUGAAUGUGAGUGUCAUGCGGCCUUCUUGGAACCUAAAAUUAAGGCUGAAGUGUUCUGUGGGGGGUCUCUUGGAAAAAUUAUCUUACAAGUUUCAGGACGACGAAAUUCUUUUCCCUUUCCGCAGAACAUACUCUUUUCUAUCUGUCAAGUGUCAACCUUGUGUUUACGAACCCAAACAAUUACACCUUUGUUUCAGGCCUGUUGAAGUUGAACAAUCAAUUCUCGAGGACCUGCGAAACCGUGCACAAUUGAAUAACUUGGCAUUGCCUUCUGUUAGCUUCUACACAUUCCUUAAUACACAUAAUGGGUAAGCUUAGCUGUAACUUAGUAUCAACUGUUCCAGUGUGCAUACUUUGGUUUGAACAUUAUCCUGUGGAACACAGAUUAAACUGCUCAUCAAUCUCAAACGAUGGAUCAUUGGUUGUUGGUGGGUUCUCAGACUCAUCAGUAAAGGUUAGUCCCUUUUGGUGAUAGUUUAAUUGUUUCUCAUGUGAUCACUACAUUAACUGGUAAAACUUCCCUGUUCACUAGGUUUGGGAUAUGGCAAAGAUUGGUCAACCAGCCAAAACACGUUAGUCGUUCUACACUACAUAUUGCUGAUGUUUUUAUUCCACUGUGAUAUGGUGAAAAGCUUCUGUAGCUGUGCAUCUGAUUUUUGUUAUGGUAGCCUUUUGUUCUAAGGAUGCUACUAGUUUAUUUCGUUCAGUUUAAGUUAUGAGCUAGAAGUUUAAGGUGGUGUCGCGGGACUGAAAAUGUCUUCUGGACCCUACCUGCUGGACAUGAAUAUUUUAACGACAUUGCACUAUUUGACUGGAACCUGUAUUCUUCUAACAUAGUAGUGCUUUCAUUUAUAUCUUGAUGGGAUUUGCUGAUUGGGAAAAUUUGGACUCAGCUAGUUCACAAGGAGAGAAUGGAUCUUCACAGGGUGAACACUUGUCAUCAACAUCUGAGGGGAAAAAACCUUAUACAUUAUUCCAAGGUCAUUCUGGACCAGUUUAUUCCGCUGCCUUUAGUCCAUUUGGAGAUUUUCUCCUGUCAUCAUCUUCAGAUUCAACAAGUAAAGCAUCACUUACACUAUGCUUAUUUUGUACCAUUCAUUUACUUGUUCGCUUAUUUAAUCGAACUGACAGUUUGUCUAUUUUUUUAUAUGCUUGUUACAGUUCGGCUGUGGAGUACCAAGCUGAAUGCCAAUCUUGUUUGUUACAAAGGACACAAUUACCCAGUUUGGGAUGUCCAAGUAUGUGAACAAGCCCUUUCUCUGUAUCAUUUCGUGAAAACAACAUUUGGGUUAUUUCUUCAUGGGAAGUGUUGACUGCCUAGUUCAGGCCAAAACAUUUGAUUAGUUAGUUGAUUUUUCAGUAGUAUUUAUUAGAAUGAUGCUCAGAUCUGUUGUUACAAUCAAUGUCAAUGCCCUACAAUCAAUUGGUUGUUCAGUAAUUCUUAAUAAACUCUUCUGAAGUUCUAGACCUCAUUACCUAUAUGGAUAUGAUGUACAGUACAAGGGAUUAUUCUGGAGGUGAGGAUGGGUGUCUCCGUUGUUACAAACAUUGUCCAUACCCUACUAUUGUUUUAAUCUUGAUCUUGGUGCAAGGAGUGCAAAACUGCAAAUACUUGUGAUAAAUAUUCCUAGUUCGCUUUUCAUUUUGAACACUUCUGAUGAUGGAAUUUGGAAUAGGUCCAUUGGGCUUGAUGUUCUUUUCAACAGCUUAUGAUUGGUACAUAAAUUUUUGUUGCGGUAGCUUUCUAAUUCUGUUCUAUUGAACCUCAUGACAUAAUUGUGUGUCGUAGUAUUUUCUGACAUUUGUUUUAUGUUUUUGUGGCAGUUUAGUCCAGUUGGCCAUUAUUUUGCCAGUGCCUCGCAUGACAGGACUGCUCGAAUUUGGUCAAUGGACAAAAUCCAACCUUUGCGGAUAAUGGCUGGGCAUCUUGCUGAUGUUGAUGUAAGUGUGCUUCUAGCUCAUAGUUUGUAGUGAUUUGUGAAUUGACAGUCUGCUAUGGGAAUGCUUACUGAUGUCUGCAUGUUCUGAUUGUUCUCUUCUGCAAAUUAUUUAUCUGACAGUGUGUGCAAUGGCAUGUAAACUGUAACUACAUUGCCACCGGCUCCAGUGACAAAACUGUAAGGCUAUGGGACGUUCAAACUGGUGAAUGUAUACGAAUGUUUAUUGGUCAUAGGAGUAUGGUCUUAUCACUGGCAAUGUCUCCUGAUGGGCGAUACAUGGCUUCUGGGGAUGAAGAUGGGACCAUCAUGAUGUGGGAUCUCUCUACUGGUCGCUGCGUUUCACCACUGGCAGGACACAACUCUUGUGUGUGGUCACUUGCUUUCAGGUAAUCAUCAUUAUACAUUGUUUUACUUAGUAUCCCACGUGUCCUUGUUGCUGAUGGUAGUCAAACAGUAGUUGAUAUACCAAAUAUGUGUAAAGAUUAUUAGUUUGUGGCAGGGCUUGGCAAACUGGCCUUUCUUGUCUGCUGCCUUUAAUCAGUUUUCUGAGCAGUGGCUUCAGUUCACACUGGGUUAGAUUUAUCCAUAAAUGAUUAAUGCGUUUACUAACCAUUUUGGCCACCUUUAGUAUUUAACUGGAAUGUUGCAUGAUUCUGUCUUCAAAUGACCACACCAUGGAACUUGAAUACCCGUGUGUGGUUGUUUUUUCUUGAAUAUACAUCGAUGGUCCAGCUUAUGUACUUGGCCCAAUGCAAUUGUUGGUUGAUCACAGUAGAUUUUCUUCUGGAUCUAUUGUUUGAAAAAAUCUGUAUUUUUUUCCAUUUUUAACCACUGUUUUCAGUAGAAAUUAUGCAAAAAAAUGUCUUCCAUCAACGGAUUAGAUUGAGUAUCAUGGAUGAUUCUUCUUUUUUGAAGUGUGCAUUCUUUCUCUUCCAGUGACAAGUCAUGCUGUGUUGCUACUACUCCCUCUGUUCCUAAAUAUAAGUCUUUUUAGAGAUUUCAAUAUGGACUACAUACGGAGCAAAAUGAGUGAAUCUACACUCUAAAACAUGUCUAUAUACAUCCGUAUGUAGUCCAUAUUGAAAUCUCUAGAAAGAUUAUAUGUAGAAAGGAGGGAGUACUCCGUAUGGUUUUUAGUUUUUGGAGAAGCAUGAUUCUUAAUUUCAUGCUAAUAUGUUAUGCCAAAGAAUCAUCUCAGUUAAACAAUCCAUCCUCUAUUUUAUAGCUGCGAGGGAGCAUUGCUUGCAUCAGGAUCAGCUGAUUGCACUGUUAAACUCUGGGAUGUCGCGUCCAGCACAAAGGCUCUGAAGAUGGAUGACACGUAAGUUGGUUGGCUUGCUUGUAAAAGGACGCUUUGGUUUGCCUUACUCUAGUUUUUAAAUAUCCUUUAUUUUUGUGAAACAGCAAAGCUGGUUCGACGAACCGACUGAGGCUGCUGAAAGCUCUCCCUACAAAAUCGACUCCUGUUUAUAACUUGCGGGUGAGAAUGUCUUUCCAUCCACAGUUCUCAUCAGUUAACAUAGGGUAGUUACCGUGUGGCGUGAAAACCAACUAACUGAUCUUUUCCAAUUGCAGUUUUCCCGGAGGAAUCUUUUGUUUGCUUCUGGCGCUCUCUCGCUAUAGGCUCCUAAGCUUGCUGUAUGCUCUGUAGAAUACAAUUUACAUUCUUUCAGUGUUGACCUUAAGUAGCAAAGUAGAUGUUUACUUGGCUGAGUCCUGUUGUAGAGCUUCUUACAUUGUCCUUACUGAUCUCAGUGAACCCUAUGAUUGAGUAGGUUGUUAAACUGUAGCCUGUGAACAUUGCUCAUUGAGACUUGUGUAUUACUGUUGUAACAUUAGCUAAUUUUAAAUUAUAUACGUGGAAGGUAGUAGUCACAAAUAGGAAACAAGAACACUUGGUUGAUGCAAGAAGACAAUGGCCCAAGAGCUAGAGUUUAGGAGCUUCUUGAGGGUUGUUUUCACAGCAUCUUCUUGUGGUGUCUGAAGGAGCUGAGCUGUGAUUUGAUAUAGUUAUGGGACUUGUGAGGGAAAAAAGCAUGACCUGUCGGUCUUCAUUUGAGCGAUCAAGGCCAUAUCUAUCUCUUAGCUAUUGCUGAUGUUGAAAUGUGAGUUGUGACUGCCCUCAUUGGUCCAAGCUUGGUGUCAUUUUGUAUCCUGCUAUCUGUCGACAUCUGGACCAGAGCGUUCCUAUCACAAGUAAAUGUUGAUUUCUUCAUGAUGUUGCCAACAAUCAAAGUGAAGAACUGUUGUGCACCCUGCAUUUUGUUGGCAUGCCGCGCCGAAGGUCUCUCUCUGCCAGGCUGCGCCGCAAUAUAUCCUGUCCCGCUGAAACAGCGAUGCAGGUAGGUGGGAGAUGACAUGAAAAUUUGACUUUGCUGCUGUGUUGGAUGUCAAAGCUGAAAUAACGCAGUGACAAUGGCAGAUGCGACCCGAGCGUGUGGAUGCGAGGGGCGCUGCGCAAGUGUUCUUAAACCCCCGGGGCCUGAGCUUGCUAGCUGAGCAUCCAACUUUCAGCUUACUCACACACCAACAUCGAGGGAAACCCAAGGUAGAAGAGGUCGUCCAUCAAAGGUUCACAACUACCAUCUCUCAUCCUGAUUUUUGUUUAUUUUAUUUUAUUUUACGAGUUGUUCUCUCGUCCUUAUAUACUAGUUGUAUGAAUAAUCAUCUUUUCAUGGGAUGUAAUCCUUGAAAAAAAAAGGAAGCACCUAGCGGCUAAGUUUCUAUGUAUCAGUGGGUUUUCGCAGCCUAGUACUUCCUUUGUAAAUUAGUAUAAAAGCGUAUUAUUAAAGUAGUGAUCUAAACGCUUUUAUAUUAGUUUACAGAGUACUAUAUAUUCAUCUUCUUCCCCUCCUAGUUAUUUCUAGCCCCUUUUACCCUUUCCAAGCCGCCUCUUCUAUCGUGCCACAAUUGUUUCAACCAUCAUUGUAAGCCCCAAUCUUCUCAUGCGCCUGUGUGCACUCGUCAACCCUCUUUCUAUGCUCCGUGUGGCAUCGGCAACGACGCGGCUAGGUUUGCAAAAAAUCUCUUUUUGUUCGUGUCUUGUUGGGCAUGUAUUGUUUUCCUGUUUCUUUUUUCACAUAUUUUCAAAAUUAGAACUAUUUUUCCAUGAAGUUUCAAAUUAGUUCCAUAUGUAGUUAGGCUAUCUCCGACGGCAACCCCUGAACUGUCCUCAUGUUCAGCACUAUACUGUUCGAUUGUGUUGUGCCAUCCAAAAUAGGAUUGUAAUGGUCUGCAUGGUGGUCCGGACAUACUUUCUUCCGCACACCAGAGACAAAUAUGCGGGGCUUUGCGGUGUCCGGACAGCACCUAGGCCAGCGUCUGACCAUCCUGACUCAACAAAACUCCUCAUCCCUUGCCCGCACGCGUUUCCACCCGAGGCCAGCUACCCGCAGUCAUGUCGAUGUGGAGCGCCCGCUAUACAUUGAAGCCGGCCCUGAACGGGCGCGAUGUCUCACUGGCUCCGCCAUUAAAGCGGCGCGCCGAUCGUGGGCGUUGCCCACUGCACGUCCGGUAGAACUUGCCUCCUUGCCGCAUUCAAGCGCCUUCCUAAACCCGCGUGGAAGCCGACAAACCUACUCGGGCCACAUGUCCGUUCACGAGCGGGCGACAUUAAACACAACGCCUGGCAAGCUCCUCCUUGCCGCCUGCUAUUUAAAGGAUGCCUAGCCGGCGGGCAAGAAUCACACCACUACGCCUCUCCCCAUCUCCUCAUCCCACCCUUUCGAUGGCAUCCGGUGUUGCCGGUUGUAGACUAGUGUAAUAUAUUCGUAUAGUAGGAAUGGAGCACCGCAUGACCGGAUUUGCACAUAGUUUUGCCUAUUUUGGUUAAAAUAUGCCUAAAAUGUAAUGAAUUUCGUUCAAUUUAUAUGUAAUCCAUUGUAUUUGCAUGAAAUUCACCCGAUUUGUUCGAAAAGUUGUUGAAAUGUAUGUGGAUAGCGUUGGAUGGCGGCCUCCUCCAUCCGUGUCCAUGCAUAGGCCCCCCUUCCCGCAGACUAGCACUUAAGUACCAUGCUAGCACUUUGCAUUGAAGUACUACCAGUUAGGGGGUAUUUGGCUGGGUUUAACUUUGGCUUAUAAGCCAAAGAAAAUCACCUAUGUUAGAGCAAGUACAAUAGGAUGACCUAGGCGGGCUGUAAGACUUAAAAUAAUAUAUUUGUGAUGAGUUGGAAGAGAGAGAAGAGAAGCGGGCUAAAAACUAACAGCCGGCUGUAACACGUGCUCCUAGGCACUUUGUGAGAAAGGAUGAUGGACCUUGUAUCAGUAAAGUAGUACUUAUUUACAUCUACCCAUUGUACUUGCGGGCUAUAAACUUGGCUAUAGAUUACGUGUCAACAUCAUAUAGCCAGCAGUUGGCUGUACUGUUAACCAUGCUCUUAUGGGCUUUUGGCUUAUACCAUCAUGUGCAAAAGCCAAAAACAUUGCUACAUACACGUAGGACAUUUCCCAUCUGAAUCUCUCUCACAUCACACCGUUCAUGCGCAAGGCUAAGCUACAACAGGCAGUUGAAUUAGCCGUUCUACCAUUAUCGUACCACAACACGUCGUAUGUGAGUACUUUCGACAACCAAAAGCAUGAAGUGGGUGUUUUGAGUUGGUCUUUUGUCCUUAUUUUACUAGUAGUAGUAUCGAGUAAUCAUCUGCUUUUUAUCCUCAAAAAAAGGGUGCACUCAGCCACCAGUUGCCUGAAAAAGUUUAUAUGGAUAAGUCAUCUUCGUCCUUUAAGCCCCACAUUUCUAUUGCGCUGGCAGGCGCCCUUGCAGCCGUCAAUCCUCAUCGUAUCUUCUGCCGGCGACGAUAUGCUUAGCAAAUCCACAAAAAAGUAAUCUAUUUUGCCUUUUGUCUUCUUGUUAGGCUUGUUAUCAUAUGUAUUUCUGUUAGUUUUUUCUUCACACACUUUUAAAAAAUAGAGCUAUGAUUUAUUUCAUGAAGUAUCAAAUAUUAGGUUCAUAUUUAGUUAUGUACCAAUGUUCAGACUUGCACUUUGGAAUGAAUCAACGAAGUGCUAUGAGUUAAGGGCUAUUUGCCUUAUAAGUGAAAAAGACACCUAUGAUGGUGUUAAGCAACAAAGACACCUAUGAUGGUAUAAUCCAAAAGUCCACAAAUAGGGGUGUUUCUUUGGGCUUAUAAGCCAAGUGAAAAAGCCAAAGUUAAGCCCAACCAAACACCCCUUAGUGUGAUUAUCUUCUUCGGCGAGCAUAUAUAUACAAACAUGUUUACAAAAAUAAAACGCUAAUUUAUGACCACUUACCAUUUUUAUCCUUGCAACUCCAUUGGUGAAAACAUGAUCUAUCUGUAUUGGAACUUAUUGACUAAAAGUGACGCAGUAUGCACUAAUGUAGGUUUGUAAUUUUUUGGAGCUUCUUAUAUUGAAAAUACAUGUCUGGCCUUUUGCAGGAAACGUAAACACAAUGGGUCUCGGCAUCCUUGUUCUAUCGGUGCUCUUAGGAUUGUUUUAUGGAGCAAGUGACAUUAACUGCUCAACAGUUCAUGGUAACACCACAGAUCACCGUUCAUUGCUUGAUUUCAAAGGGGCCAUCAGAGCGGACCCAAGAGGAGUGUUGCGCUCUUGGAAUGAGAACAUCCACUACUGUAUGUGGCCGGGCAUCAAGUGCAGCACAUGGCACCCAGAACGUGUUACGGUGCUAAACCUUGCCAACCUGAGCUUGGCAGGCCAAAUCACACCUUAUCUUGGAAAUCUAACCUUCCUUAGGGAACUUACACUAUCCAACAAUCUCUUCUCUGGCCACUUGCCCCCUCUCAAUCGUCUUAUAAGAUUAAGGAUCAUUGAUCUACAUGACAAUUUGUUGCAGGGGAACAUUCCCAAUGCACUUACAAAUUGUUCUGAACUCGUGGGGCUAGACCUCUCCUUUAACAUGCUAGUGGGUUCAAUUCCCCAGAAUAUAGGUUCCCUCUUCAAUCUUAUAGGAAUAGACCUUUCCAAUAAUAGCCUCACAGGAAACAUUCCACGAACGUUCGGCAACAACAGUUACUUAGAAGAGCUACGACUUACCCACAAUCAACUCAAAGGAAGCAUUCCCGAAGAUCUUGGGAAAUUGCCGAAUAUGGGGGUGAGCCGGGCGGUGUAUCUUGGUCAGAAUAGGCUAUCUGGUAGAGUUCCAACAACAUUGUUUAAUCUAUCGAAUCUUAUAAUACUAGACUUGAGUAGAAAUACGCUAAGGGGCACACUGCCAUCCAAUAUCGGUAAUCUAUCUGUCGCGCUUCAAUGGCUAUUUCUGGGUGCAAACAACUUGUCCGGGACAGUGCCACCGAGCAUUGGGGCCCUAAAGGACCUAACCGCUUUAGAUCUUGGAGGAAACAACUUCGUUGGACCAAUACCGUACUCCAUUGGCAAUCUGGCAAAGUUACAGAAGCUCUACCUUUCCAAUAAUCAUUUUGACGGUUGGUAACGCAGCGACAAUGCUUGACUGCCAACAACUUGAUUCGACUGGUUGGCCGAGCCAAGGGAUGUUGUUUGUUGUGCGAGUGCAAUGGCCUGACGAGGGCUCUGCACCUCCGUGUCCAUGCAUGGCAGCACCAGAGUUUCUCUCAGCGGGUGUGGUUUGAUCUGUUUGCAUUGCAUUUUUCAUUUUCUUGUUGUCCUUAGAUGCUUACUACUUCCUGUACACCUAAAUAAUUGUAGUCGGAGAGAACUCCCUAACUACAAUUAUUUAGAUGCAGAGGGAGUAUAUUUUUCAGCGGGUUUGUCACAUGCAUGUGUGUGUGUGGUAUGUACUGUUUCUGGCUGUGUGCGUCUCGUUUGUAUUCGUAUCAUUUAGAGAAUGCAAUAAAAGGCCUCCACAACAACAACAACAAUCAAGCCUUUCAGUCCCAAACAAGUUGUGAUAGGCUAGAGUUGAAACCCAUAAGAUCUCAAAGCCAAGUCAUGGCUCUGGAACGUGGAUAGCUAACUUCCACGCACCCCUGUCCAUGGCUAAGUCUUUGUCGAUAUUUCAAACCUUCAGGUCUCUCUUAACGGACUCCUUCCAUGUCAAGUUUGGUCUACCACGACCCCUCUUAACAUUCUCAGCACGCUUUAUCCGUCCGCUAUGUACCGGCGCUUCCGGUGGCCUCCGUUGAAUAUGUCCAAACCAUCUGAGAUGAUGUUGGACCAGCUUCUCUUCAAUCGGUGCUACCCCAAGUCUCUCUCGUAUAUCGUCAUUCCGUACCCGAUCCUUCCUUGUGUGACCACAUAUCCAUCUCAACAUGCGCAUCUCUGCUACACCUAACUGUUGGAUAUGUCGUCUCUUGGUUGGCCAACACUCCGCGCCAUACAACAUCGCAGGUCGGAUAGCCGUCCUAUAAAACCUGCCUUUUAGCUUUUGUGGCACUCUCUUGUCAUAGAGUACGUCAGAAGCUUAGCACCACUUCAUCCACCCAGCCUUGAUUCGGUGGCCCACGUCUUCAUCGAUAUCGCCAUCCUUCUGCAACAUGGACCCCAAAUAUCGAAACGUGUCUCUCUCCGGUACCACCUGCCCACCAAGGCUAACCUCUCCAUCCUCGUGCCUAGUAGCACUAAAACUGCACCUCAUGUAUUCAGUUUUAGUUCUACUAAGCCUAAAACCUUUCGAUUCUAGAGUCCGCCUCCAUAACUCUAACUUUCUAUUAACCCCCGUUCGGCUAUCAUCGACUAGCACCACAUCAUCCGCAAAGAGCAUACACCAUGGGAUAUCUCCUUGUGUAUCCCUUGUGACCUCAUCCAUCACCAAAUCAAAAAGAUAAGGGCUCAAAGCUGACCCUUGGUGUAGCCCUAUUCUAAUCGGAAAGUCAUCGGUGUCGCCAUCACUUGUUCGAACACUUGUCACAACAUUAUCAUACAUAUCCUUGAUGAGGGUAAUGUACUUUAUUGGGACUUUGUGUUUCUCCAAGGCCCACCACAUGACAUUCCGAGGUAUCUUAUCAUAGGCCUUCUCCAAAUCAAUGAACACCAUAUAAAGGUCCUUAUUUUGCUCCCUGUAUCUCUCCAUCAGCUGUCGUACCAAGAAGAUGUCUUCCAUGGUAGACCUCCCAGGCAUGAAACCAAAUUGGUUUUUGGUCACGCUUGUCAACCUUCUUAAGCGGUGUUCAAUGACUCUCUCCCAUAGCUUCAUAGUAUGGCUCAUCAGCUUGAUUCCGCGGUAAUUAGUACAACUUUGAACAUCCCCCUUGUUCUUAAAGAUUGGUACUAAAAUACUCCGCCUCCAUUCUUCAGGCAUCUUGUUUGACCGAAAAAUAAG